UACCGGUAUGUCUUGGUCCCAAGCAAGAAAACAAGUAGUGCAAUCACCAUGGCAAUACAGGGGAUUCCAAAUCCAAGACCCCAAUUCAGGUUGUCUUGAAUGUAGUUCAAGACAAAGAGAGUUAUUAGAGUACCAAAGCACAUAGAGAAGUACCACCAGUUGAAGAAUGAGCUUUUGGCUUUGCCCUUCGUUGGAUCUUGUCCAUCAAACUGGUCAGCUCCAAAAGCCUGGACACAGGGCUUGUGCCCACCUUGCCCAACUGCUACAAGAUAUAGAGCGAAAAAGAAGAGGAUUACUUGUAGUUAAGGAGGAGAACAAGAACCGAUUUCAUCACUUUUUUGGCAUUCAGAAGGGCUUGGAGAAGGAAGCACAGCAGAUACCGCUAACAAGCCUAGCCCCUGUGGUUCACAGAAUCAAAGUUGAAGAUGAUUAUCACAAAAUUACGACAGCAACUUAGAAUACUAUGUCAAAAAGCACUCAAAACAAUUUCCAAAAAUCAAAAUUGACAUUUUCAGGACAUUCUUUACAAGGAAGAGUUUUCUAUGCAUCUUUAAGCAUAUUAGUCUCACGGUGAGUUCUUCCAAUAAUAGAGCAUGGCGUGUAUAAACCAGACUCACUCUUUUGAGUAACUGAACAAACCAGCUGCUGUCUAAACGCAUUCUCUGAAAAUCACCCACAAAUUGGAAGCAACUUUUGUUGUAACAAGAGCCUAAUGGUCAAGGUCUGGCUUCAACAAAUACUUUUCCAAUUCUCACAAAUGGGCUUUCCCCAUUUCCUUUGAUUGUAAACCAAUAAGUUCUAGUUCCAAGCAAGAAAACAAGCAGGGCUGCAACCAUGACAAUGUAGGGAAUUCCAAAUCCAAGACCCCAAUUAAAGUUGUCUUCAAUGUAGCUGACAAUCAAAUAAGUUACUGAAGUACCAGUAGAUACACCAAAAAGCCACCAGUUGAAGAAUGAUCUUUUGGAUUUGCACUCCUCUAGAUUUUGUCCAUCAAACUGAUUAGCUCCAAAAGCCUGUGUGCAAGGCUUAUGACCCCCUUGCCCAACUGCUACUAAGUAUAGAGAGAAAAAGAACAAUAUUAUCUGGAGUUGAGGAGGAGAAUAUGAUGUGAAGUAGUCCACGUUUUGGCUUUGGUAGGCGAUGAGGGAAGGAAGCAUAGCAGAUAAAGUUAACAAGCUCAGCCCCUGAGAUCCAUAGCAACCCAAGUCAAAGAUAUAAAUCGAUCGUUCUAUUUUUUACCAGAAGAAUUUGUUUCUCGCAUUGGUGCUUAGACUAAAAAUCCACUUAUACUUGGUAUUUUAAGAAUAACUUGGGAAGUGGGGAGACCAUGGAUAAGUCUUUAAAAUUUAGAACUAACUAAGCUUAUUAAAUUAAUAAAGUUUGUCCUAAUCCACAAGUGUGCUUCCCCAAAAAUUAAAAUUUUCAAAUGUAGAUUGUUACUUAGGAAAUAAAAAGGUGACAAUUUUCAACAAGUGGUCAAAGCAAGAUAAAGCUAUGAAACCCCUUGGAUGAGAAAUACACAAACACAUUUACUAAUGGAGGAAAAUGCUUUUGACGUAGAAGUAAUUAAUGAGUGCAUGGACUCUUUGUGGUGUACUAUGUAGUAUAUGAUGUGGAAUAAUAGUUGAUUAAUGGCCAGCUAGCUGUCCAUAACCUAUUAAUAAUAUCACUUUAUGCUCUUUUGCUUAGUUUUUACUAUUUUAAAUCAAUGGACCCCAAAGCUUUGGGCUUGCAAGCUCAAGUUUUUUAAUGCAAUUGACCACUUUUUUAAUGGAAUUGAUAUAUGCAUAGAUACAUAUAUAAUAUUUAAAACUUUCAAGAGAGAAAAAAAAAAGUUGUACAAAAAUCAAAGUAUAAAUCCUAUUAUAUCAAACAAUAAAUUAAAGAUUCUUUCAUCUCAUACAAAUUCAAUUUUGAUACAUAUUAGUUAAUACUAAUUUUUUAUUCCAUUUGCACUUUGUAGGAUAAACUCUCCGAUCUAUAUUUAUAAAUUUAAAUCCAAGUUAUCUAAAUUUUUCUAAAAUUAAUAAUAAGAAUAAAUAUUUGGUUAAAAUGGAUUAAAUAAUCUUCAAAUUGUAAAUCUAACCAUUUCCGUAUUUUUUCUUGAAAAAUAACUCAUUUUUUUACAUAAAUAUCCUUUGUCAUUUUGAGUAUUUACAUAGGUUUUAAAAGAGAUGGUUAUUUUUAUAAGAAAACAAUGAGGGUAUUUUUGUCCAAAUGAGAUAAAAAAAAAAAAAAAAAAAAGGAGGUCGAAGGUUAAAUUUCAAAAAUUAGUCUUUCAAAUACCUUAUUAAUCAAAUAACCCAAAGAAGAGGACCCUUCUUAUGAUGAUUCUAAAACAGUGGUUCUGGGUAUGUAGAGGACCCAUUUUCGCUAAUAAGAAGCUAAACUUAAGGCAUAUUCAACCACCAUGGGAUGGUAGGAUAGUGGAUGAGAGAGAGAGAGACCAACCAGGAUGUAGAGAAGAAAAGCAAGAACAAUGGUGCGAUAUUGACCAAGGUAAGAAUCUGCAACAGAAGCUCCUAAAAGAGGUAGCAAGGUCGUCGUCCCACCCCAUGUAUUCACGUUAGCAGUAGCCAUAGCUGUGGACUGCCCCAGAGGUCCCGUAAGAUAGUUUAUAAGAUUGGAUCCUAUGCAUAGUUUAUAAGAUUGGAUCCUAUGCCACAGUAAGCAAACCUCUCCGCAACUUCAACACCUUUGCAAAUUCUCCAUUUUGCAUGAAGUUAUAAGGCAUAUUGUUAUUGGGUGUCCGGUAGAAAAAUGAAGAACAAAUUAUGGUUUCUGGUGCUUACCUAUGAUAAAAAUUGCAGAUCUCCAACCACCGGAGCUAGAUCUCUUGGACGGAUAACCUUGAUGAUCAAUGGCACCAUCGACCAUGUCUUCCAAGAAGGGAGAUUUCAAGCUUCAGAGCAUGUUAGCCAUGUUGGGUUUUUCCUCAUGUGGAAUGCCCAAAUUAAAAGCCCAUAUUUAAGGCCUCUUAGGCCUUUAUAUAAAAGGAUUAGAAGAAGAAUCCAUCUUCUUCUUCUUUUUCUUUCAAUUUUUUUGCAACCACCCGAGGUAGAAGAAAAAAGAGUAGAAGGAGAAAAAAGAAAGAAGGGGAAAACCACCAUUUUUGAAGUUAGAGAGCAAAAUUCAAUUUUUCUUCACUAUCCAGAUUUCAUCAAAGGUUCGAUCUUGCUUCGUCUGUGGGCCAAUCGACUUGAAAUUUGGAGAAGAUGUUUGUGACUCAUUGAUCUUCAAUCUGAACGGUGGAGAUCGAAUUUGGAGUUCCGAACGGUCGUCUUUCAGUCCGAGAACAGAGUCUUUGUUUUGGUGAUUUUUCUAUCCGGACAAUUUUGAUCAUGAACUCCGAUCAAGGUUAAUAUGUGGUUCGAUUGAGCUGAUUUUUGGUGAGUACGUUCAAAACUCAUUGAUCUUCAUUCAAAACGGUGGAGAUUGGAUUUGGAGUUCAGAACAGUUAUAUUUUAGUCUAAGAACAAUGGUUAUGUUUGGUAAGAUUUCUCCAUUGUCUUUAUGCAAAGUUGUUGAAAUUGCCAAUAUUAAUUUGUCUUGAGAUAUGGUUGAUGUAUGCCUUUAGUUUUAUCUAGAGAGAAUUGUGUAACUCAUUGAUUAUAUUAGUGGUUUUUUUAAGUGGCCUAAGGGUCCCGUGGUUUUUACUUCUCACAUUGGAGAAGGUUUUCCAUGCUAAAAAUUGUUGGUGUUCAUAUACUUGUUGAUUGGGUGAAUUAUUGUUGCUCUAUUCGAUUGAUUCCUAUUAGGUUCUCACAAGAGGGGAUAAAAUCUGGUUGUGCAUUGUUUGUGUUUAUCCCAUCAAAGUGGUAUCAGAGCAUUAGUUCAAGAUAAUUUGUGUCUUGUGUAGAACAAUGAAAAGCAAUACAAGUAGAGAAUGAUUACUCUGAAUGGCUCCAAUUAUCAUGUUUGGAAAGGAAAAAUGGAAGACUUAUUGUAUGUAAAGGAUUAUUAUUUGCCUAUGUUUGCUCCUGAAAAGCCAGAAAAUAAAACUGAUGCAGAAUGGAAUUUACUUCAUUGACAGGUUUGUGGUUAUAUCAGACAAUGGGUAGAUGAUAAUGUUCUCACUCAUGUUAGUGAAGAGGAACAUGCACGGAGUCUAUGGAACAAGCUCGAACAGUUAUAUGCUCGAAAGGCUAGUAACAAUAAAUUGUUUGUGAUCAAGAAGAUGAUUAGCUUGAAGUAUCAAGAUGGAACUCCUAUGAUAGAUCACUUGAAUACAUUCCAAGGUAUUAUUAAUCAGUUGGUUGGAAUGAAUAUCAAGUUUGAGAAAGAGGUGCAAGGGUUGUGGCUUCUUGGUACAUUGCCGGACUCGUGGGAGACGUUUAGACCUUCUUUGUCUAACUCAGCCCUAGAUGGUACUAUGAAUAUGGAUUUGGUUAAAAGUUGUGUUCUGAAUGAUGAGAUGAGAAGAAAUUCAUAGGGUUCUUCUUCACAGCCAGAUGUCCUAGUUACUAAAAAGAGGGAAAUGAGUAAGAGUAGAGGUCUGAAGAACAAAGAUAGAAGCAAAAGUAAGACUAACAAGUUUGCCAAUAUUGAGUGUCACUAUUGCCAUUUGAAAAGGCAUAUAAGGAAGUAUUGUCGCCAAUUGAAGAGAGAUAUGAAACAAGGGAAAGUGAAGGACAAGAACAAUGACAAUGGUGGUAAAGAUGACCGAGUUGCCACUAUCAUUUUAGAUUUCCUUAUUGUUUGAUUACUACCCAAAAAGUGUUAUUUUACACCUUUAAUUCAUUAUGUUUUAAGCACUUUUGUGUAGUAGUUCUCCAUCUUUAUCCCAAUUGGCAUGUUAAGGACCUAGCAAUGACUUCUAAUCAUAUUUGUGGCUAGUUUUAGUGUUUUGACAGCUUUUUGGAUCAUUAAAACAAGCCAAGUAAAGGAGAGAAGCAAAGAGGAAAAACAAGCAAAGAGAAAAUGAAGAAAACAGAGGACAGCAGCUGCAGUCUUCCUUUGCACUUUUGGAGAACUUUCUGAUGUCCAUUUUCUACAUGCUAUAUACCAUUUCAAAGCUCAGGAAGUCAAGAAUCCAACGCUUCAAACCGUGUACGAUUUGGAGCUGAAAUGAGGAAGAUAUGUCCUUCGGAAGACAACUGCUCCAGGCUUGUGCGAAAUUCGCACAACACCUUGAAAUUCGCACAACACCUUCAGCUUGUGCGAAGCUUGUGCGAAAUUCACACAACACCUUCCAAAUUCGCACAGCCCAUGCGUGGUGCGAAUUUUCCUCUAUUUUUGCCGACUCCACUUUAGAUCUUUUCCUAUGUAUUUUUUGAUGUAAUUUCCUUUCUUAUCCCUGUAACUAACCAAUCACAAGCUUUUGCUUUUGUAAAGACUAUAUAAGGGGUGGAAAUCACCUCUUGGAACUAACGAACAUGUGUUACGCUUUACACUUAGUGAAAUACAGAGCUCUCUCAUUUUUCCUUUUCUCUCUACUAUUUUCUUUUUCUUGGAAGCCAAACAACCUCUGAGAAUGUUUUCCCAGAGGAUGAGAGGCUAAACUUUUGGUUUCUUGGAGUGAAGGAAGCUAGGUGAAAAGUCCAGAUGCAAAGGUGGAAAACUCUCGUGCAUUAAAUACAGGUAGUUGUAGUUCAUAAAUGGCUUCUAAAUCCAAAGUUUUGCUUUAAAUCCCUUAGAAUCACUUUGAAUGGCCAAUACAUGGUAAGCUUCAGGUCUCUAUGGAUGCUUAUUGCUAGAUCCAUAUCAGUCCAUUAGUUAUCAUGUACGAGCCAUUGGAAAGUGACUCAAGGUGAAGACCCAUAGUGUCUAAAGCCAUUAAUGGACCUUGACUACCAUUUCUAUUGACUUUUUAUGGAUUAAAUCUUCAUUGUUAAACCUAUACCGGUUCGGGAAAUAACUAUAGGUUAAAUCCCCAAUGCGAGGAGAAAAAUCCGGAAUUUUCCACUUUGUAUUUUGAACUUGAUCCUAGCAACCCUUAGCUCCGGGAGACUUUCUUUCUUCCAUUUUUACUUAGUUUUAUGUUAGUUUAGUUUCAAACACCUUUCAAAACAAAUUUCAUUUUCUUUUAAACUUUAAGUUUUUGAUAAGGAAAUCAUUAAAUUCAAUUUCUAAUCUCGAGUAUAUCACUAGUAGAAUGAAAACGCAUCCCAGAGUUCGACCCUAGAGCCACUAUGCUAUAGUAGCUUUGCUACGCUAGUAUGAGGUCAUAGGUUUUAUAAAUGUUUUUUAUUAAAUGACCCGACUGGAGUUUCAUGCGAAUCAAAAUGGCGUCGUUGCCGGGGAUGGUGCCACAAUACAGUGAUACAACCUUUUAGAGGCUACUAGUGAUUUUCAUCACAAGUUUGGUGAAUUCCUUUUUCACUAACUUCAUUUCCUUUCUUUUAAUUGUAGAAUUCCUUUUGUUUUCUUUCUAACCUUAACUUUUUUCUAGUUUUCUUUUGUUUUUGUUGUCUUUGUUUUGUUUUCAGGUAAGUUGUAACUUGUGUAUGCCCUAUUGGAUUCGGGACCAAGAGGGAAGAUUAGUAAGGAUUGAGAAUCCUCAAGACACAGAGUUGGAUAUCUGUGUAAACAUCAUGGACCCUCCACAAGAGGAUCAUAAUUCUCAACAUGGUCAAGGGGAUAAUCCAAAUGCAUAUCUAUCCAUGAGGGAUAGAAUGCAUCCACCAAGGAUGAGUGCACCCUCAUGCAUUGUACCUCCUCUUGAGCAGCUGAUUAUAAGGCCCCAUAUUGUGCCCCUCCUACCAAAUUUCCAUAGAAUGGAGAGUGAGAAUCCAUAUGCCCACAUCAAGGAGUUUGAGGAGGUGUGCAAUACUUUUAGAGAGGGAGGAGCUUCAAUAGACUUGAUGAGACUCAAGCUAUUCCCUUUUACUUUGAAGGACAAGGCAAAAAUAUGGCUUAAUUCUUUAAGGCCAAGGAGCAUAAGGAAUUGGGUUGAUCUUCAAGCCGAAUUUUUGAAGAAAUUUUUCCCCACCCAUAGGACCAAUGGGUUGAAGAGACAAAUCUCAAACUUUUCUGCAAAAGAAAAUGAGAAGUUCCAUGAAUGUUGGGAAAGGUAUAUGGAGGCCAUCAAUGCUUGUCCUCAUCAUGGCUUUGAUACAUGGCUCUUGGUGAGCUAUUUUUAUGAUGGGAUGUCUUCCUCCAUGAAGCAAAUUCUUGAAACCAUGUGUGGGGGAGAUUUUAUGAGUAAGAAUCCAGAAGAGGCCAUGGACUUUUUAAGUUAUGUAUCUGAAGUAACAAGAGGAUGGGAUGAGCCCCACUCAAGGGAAAUGGGAAGGAUGAAAGGUCCUGUAAAUCCAAAGGGUGGUAUGUACAUGUUAAGUGAAGACAUGGACAUGAAAGCUAAGGUGGCAACAAUAGCAAGGAGGUUGGAAGAACUUGAGUUGAAAAAAAUGCAUGAAGUCCAAGCCAUUUCCGAGACACAAGCCCAUGUCAUGCCAUGCACCAUUUGCCAAUCAUGUGAUCAUGUGGUAGAUGAGUGCCCAACCAUGCCAACUGUGAGGGAGAUGUUAGGUGAUCAAGCCAAUGUUGUGGGGCAAUUUCGGCCUAACAACAAUGCACCUUAUGGAAACACCUAUAAUUCAAGCUGGAGAAACCAUCCAAAUUUUUCUUGGAAACCAAGACCACCUCCAUACCAACCACAAGCCCAAACCCAAGCACCUCAACAAACCUCUUCAGUAGAGCAAGCCAUUGCGAACCUAAGUAAAGUCAUGAAUGACUUUGUGGGUGAACAAAAGGCAAUCAACUCCUAAUUGCACCAAAAGAUUGAAAAUGUUGAGAGUUCUCAAAUUAAGAGAAUGGAGGGGAUGCAAAAUGAUCUAUAUCAGAAGAUAGAUAAUAUUCAAUACUCUAUCUCUAGGCUUACCAACCUCAACACAGUGAAUGAGAAAGGAAAGUUUCCCUCUCAACCAAGCCAAAAUCCAAAGGGUGUUCAUGAAGUUGAAACCCAAGAGUGGGAGUCUUCAAAGUUGAGGGAGGUCAAAGUUGUGAUCACUUUGAGGAGUGGGAAGGAGGUUGAUCAACCCUUGCCUAAGGUGAGGCAAGAUGAAGAACUCAUGUCAAAGAAAACCUUGGUUAAAGAGAGCAAUAACCAAGAAGAGAAGAGUGGGAAGAAAAGUGCAUCCAAAUCAAGCAUUGAAGAAGAGCCGAUGAUAGUGAUUAAAGAGGAUAUGAUGAAGAAACAUAUGCCUCCCCAUUUUCCUCAAGCUUUACAUGGAAAGAAGGAAAUCAAGAAUUCAUCAGAAAUUCUUGAAGUCUUGAGACAAGUGAAGGUGAAUAUACCCUUACUUGAUAUGAUCAAGCAAGUCCCCACAUAUGCGAAAUUUUUAAAGGACUUGUGCACAGUCAAGAGAGGGUUACAUGUGACAAAGAAUGCAUUCCUCACUGAGCAAGUGAGUGCUAUCAUUCAGAGUAAGUCUCCAGUUAAGUAUAAAGAUUCGGGAUGCCCCACCAUUUCAGUCAACAUUGGAGGGACACAUGUGGAGAAAGCUUUACUAGACUUAGGGGCAAGUGUGAAUUUGCUCCCAUACUCUGUGUACAAGCAACUGGGACUUGGAGGAUUGACGCCCACAGCCAUCACUCUCUCCUUAGCUGACAGGUCAGUCAAAAUCCCAAGGGGGGUGAUAAAGGAUGUUCUAGUUCAAGUGGACAAAUUCUAAUAUCCUGUGGAUUUUGUGGUGCUUGAUACCGAUCCCACUGUUAAGGAAGCAAAUUACGUGCCAAUCAUCCUUGGGAGACCUUUCCUGGCUACCUCCAAUGCCAUCAUCAAUUGUAGGAAUGGGGUGAUGCAGCUCACAUUUGGAAACAUGACCUUGGAAUUAAACAUAUUCCACCUAUGCAAGAGGCAUCUUCACCCAGAAGAGGAAGAAGGAUUGGAGGAGGUGUGCUUGAUCAACACCUUGGUUGAAGAGCAUUGUGACAAGAAUAUAGAAGAAAUCUUGAAUGAAAGCAUUGAAGUGCUUGAAGAAGGGUUACCUGAACCCUCUGAUGUGCUAGCCAUCAUCUCUCCUUGGAGGAGACGGGAAGAGAUCUUACCACUGUUCAAUAAGGAGGACUCACAUGGAGCAGCUGUGGAGGACCCUCCAAAGCUUGUUUUGAAGCCGCUUCUUGUUGAUUUGAAGUAUGCAUAUUUGAAGGAAGAUGAGAAAUGUCCAGUGGUGGUUUCUUCAACUCUCACUAGUGAUCAAGAGGAUAGUCUUUUGGGAGUCCUCAGAAAAUGCAAGAAAGCCAUUGGAUGGCAAAUUUCUGAUCUGAAAGGGAUUAGCCCUUUGGUGUGCACCCACCAUAUCUAUAUGGAGGAAGAUGCAAAACCAGUGAGGCAGCCCCAGAGGAGGUUGAAUCCUCACAUGCAAAAGGUGGUGAGGGGUGAAGUUCUGAAGCUACUUCAAGCAGGGAUCAUAUAUCCCAUUUCAGAUAGCUUGUGGGUGAGCCCCACUCAAGUAAUUCCAAAGAAAUCUGGAAUUACUGUGAUCCAGAAUGAGAAAGGGGAGGAAGUCUCUACACGUCCUACCUCAGGAUGGAGGGUGUGCAUAGACUACAGGAGGUUGAAUUCAGUGACUAGGAAGAACCAUUUCCCAUUGCCUUUCAUGGACCAAGUCCUUGAGAGAGUCUCAGGACAUCCUUUCUAUUGUUUUCUGGAUGGUUACUCGGGGUACUUCCAAAUAGAGAUUGAUUUGGAAGAUCAAGAAAAGACAACCUUCACUUGCCCCUUUGGUACUUUUGUGUAUAGGAGAAUGCCCUUUGGUUUAUGUAAUGCUCCUGCAACUUUCCAAAGAUGUAUGCUAAGCAUCUUCAAUGAUAUGGUGGAACGCAUCAUGGAAGUCUUCAUGGAUGACAUCACUGUAUAUGGAAGUUCUUAUGAGGAGUGUUUGUUGCAUUUAGAAGAUGUUCUCCAAAUAUGUAUUGAGAAAGACCUAGUGCUAAAUUGGGAGAAGUGCCAUUUUAUGGUACAACAAGGAAUUGUCUUAGGACAUAUAAUCUCCAAGAAUGGCAUUGAGGUAGAUAAGGCAAAGGUGGAGCUAAUUGUUAAGUUGCCACCUCCCACAAAUGUUAAAGGAAUUAGGCAAUUCCUAGGACAUGUCGGGUUCUAUAGGAGGUUCAUUAAGGAUUUUUCAAAAAUCUCAAAGCCUCUUUGUGAACUCUUGGUAAAGGAUGCCAAGUUUGUGUAGGAUGAGAAAUGUCAGAAGAGUUUUGAGGAACUGAAGCAAUUCCUCACAACUGCACCAAUAGUGAGAGCCCCAAAUUGGCAAUUACCUUUUGAGGUAAUGUGUAAUGCAAGUGAUCUUGCUAUGGGGGUUGUUUUGGGGCAAAGAGGAGAUGGAAAGCCCUAUGUGAUUUAUUAUGCGAGCAAAACUUUGAACGAGGCUCAAAGGAACUACACAACUACUGAGAAGGAGUUGUUGGCAGUAGUUUUUGCCUUGGAUAAGUUUCGCACCUAUUUGGUAGGGUCCUCUAUAGUGGUGUUCACUGACCAUUCCGCUUUGAAGUACUUGCUAACCAAGCAAGAUGCCAAGGCAAGAUUGAUAAGAUGGAUCAUUUUGCUCCAAGAAUUCAAUCUCCAAAUUCGGGAUAAAAAGGGAGUAGAAAAUGUGGUAGCUGACCACUUGUCAAGACUUGUGAUAGCACAUGACUCACAUGGUCUACCUAUCAAUGAUGACUUCCCUGAGGAGUCUCUCAUGUCAAUAGAGGUAGCUCCAUGGUAUUCUCACAUUGCAAAUUUUUUGGUUACUGGAGAAGUUCCAAGUGAGUGGAGUGCCCAAGACAAGAGGCAUUUCUUUGCUAAGAUCCAUGCCUAUUAUUGGGAGGAGCCUUUUCUCUUCAAAUAUUAUGCAGAUCAAAUCAUAAGGAAAUGUGUUCCUGAACAAGAGCAAUCAGGAAUUCUAUCCCAUUGUCAUGAUAGUGCAUGUGGAGGUCAUUUUGCCUCCCAGAAAACAACUAUGAAAGUGAUCCAAUCAGGUUUUUGGUGGCCCUCUCUUUUCAAGGAUGCCCACUCUAUGUGCAAGGGAUGUGAUCGGUGUCAAAGGCUUGGUAUGCUAACACGCCGAAAUAUGAUGCCCUUGAACCCCAUCUUGAUAGUGGAUGUCUUUGAUGUUUGGGGGAUAGACUUCAUGGGACCAUUUCCAAUGUCGUUUGGACAUUCCUACAUUUUGGUGGGAGUGGAUUAUGUCUCUAAGUGGGUAAAAGCAAUCCCAUGUAGGAGCAAUGAUCAUAAGGUGGUUCUUAAAUUCCUCAAGGACAACAUCUUUGCAAGAUUUGGAGUGCCUAAGGCCAUUAUCAGUGAUGGAGGAACCCACUUUUGCAAUAAGCCUUUUGAGACUCUUCUAGCCAAAUAUGAGGUUAAGCAUAAGGUAGCUACACCUUAUCACCCUCAAACAAGUGGCCAAGUUGAGUUAGCCAACCGGGAGAUCAAGAAUAUAUUGAUGAAGGUGGUGAAUGUGAAUAGGAAGGAUUGGUCUAUUAAGCUCCUGGAUUCCUUAUGGGCUUAUAGGACCGCUUACAAGACCAUUCUUGGAAUGUCUCCUUAUCACCUUGUUUAUGGCAAAGCGUGUCAUCUUCCAGUGGAGGUUGAAUAUAAAGCAUGGUGGGCAAUUAAGAAGCUCAACAUGGAUUUGACAAGAGCCGGGUUGAAGAGAUGUUUGGAUUUGAAUGAAUUGGAGGAAAUGAGGAAUGAUGCUUACCUCAAUUCAAAAAUUGCAAAAGAGAGGCUGAAGAAAUGGCAUGAUCAGUUGGUAAAUCAGAAGAAUUUUGCUAAGGGACAAAGAGUCUUGCUUUAUGACUCUAAGCUUCAUCUUUUUCCGGGAAAAUUGAAAUCAAGGUGGACGGGUCCUUUCAUAAUUCAUAAUGUGCAAUCAAAUGGAGUAGUGGAACUACUCAACUUCAAUAGCACUCGAACUUUCAAAGUGAAUGGGCAUCGUCUCAAGCCCUAUAUGGAAUCAUUUUCCCGAGACAAGGAGGAAUUCAUCCUCCUUGAUCCACCUCCAACAUGAAAACACUUGAUUCAUGGUUGAACUUAGUCUCUUCAAAGACUAAAGAGUUCAUCCUCUUUUUGUUUUCUUGUAAGUUGAUUUUAGUUUAAUCUAGUGUUUUUCUUGUGUUUUUGCAUGUUUUGAUUUUUAUUUUUGACUUUAAUGUCGUUCUAAUGUGGUUUGAAUUGGUUUUUUGUGUUAACAUGCAAGUAGGAAAGCUUGAAGAAUGAAGUCAUGGUGAAAACAAGGGAAAACAGGGGAGAAAAACCAAGACUCGGCAAUUUUCGCACAACACUUCCUGUUGUGCAAAAUUUUCGCACAACACAUCCCUUGUGCGAAUUCGUUUUUGUGACAAAAUUUCAAAACCAUGCUCUCUGUCUUGGAGAACCUCAGGAAUGCGAAAUUCACAUUUCCUCUUUAAAAGCCAUUUUCUCAUCUUCAAUUCUAAGCUUUUUCUUCUUCAUUUCUCUCAACACCUCUCUUCCGAUCACCCAUUCCCAUCCUUAAGCUCUUCUCCUUCAUCAUUCCCCAUCCUCAACACCACCAUGGCAGCCCAUCUCCAUAGCUCCACUCCAUAGCCGCGGCCUUCACUAUUCACCACAGUCCACACCUUCAAUUUUCAGCUCUUUCUCCUCUUUCCACCAUCAAAAACCCUUCAAUUCUUCACUCAACACUCUAAAUUCAUCCCUAAACCAAUCCCAACCUUGAUUUUACCAAACCAAAACCUCAAGCUAAGGAUUCAAGCCACGGUUUCUUCAUAAGAAACCCAUUGCCCCCGAGUAGAGGAGCCUCCAAAUUCCAAAUUCUCUUCUUGAAAAGCUCCAAUUUCCAAGCCUAGCCACCAUGAAAAAUCCUUUUCCUACCUUAGCCAGUAUUUCCCACCCUCAAAAGCCAAAAAAUUUCACCAUUUGAACGAGCCUCAAUUUUGCAAAAGGGCGGGUGAAUAGUGUCUUGUGCAAAAAAUUCGCACAACACCCCCUCUUGUGCGAAAUUUUUGCACAACACCCCCCUUGUGCGAAUUUUUCAGUUUCUCCAUCCCUACCCUCCCCAAUCCCAAGCCUCUGAGCCUCAUUUUAUCGCUUCUUCAUGCCUAAGACCCGAGGAGGAUAUACCUCAGCUCCCAGAGCAGUCAGAGAGCUACCCCUGUGCGGGCCCCACUAGAUGCACCUCCACAUUUACCUGAUUCUGCCCCUCAGAGCAGAUACCAUACGAGGAGAGCAUCUGCCACGCCUGUAGCCCCUACUCAAAUUUCACCUCAAAGUCCUCAUACAAAGAAAGCCAAGACUUCAGAGCCAGGAGAGUCAUCCAGAGCAUCUCGGGAUUCACAGUCUCAGCCUCCUUCCACCAGGCGCUCUAGAGCCAGCUCGCCCAUUGAGGGCAACUCCGAUUGCCGAUCCAGAGCAUUUCAUGUCGAGGCAUGUUUUGAUCACUCUAUUUUGGGAUAACAGCCCGAGUUGCAGGAUUCAUACAGCCUACUUGAGAGGUACCAUCUUGUACCCUUUAUGACUCCGCCCUAGUUCUUUUAUCCUCGAGUAGCUUUAGACUUUUACCAGUCUAUGACUACUCGUGGCGUCCCGGUACCAGCCUCGAUACUUUUUACCAUUGAUGGACGCCAGGGUAUUUUGGGGGCUAGACAGAUUGCCGAUGCUUUCCAUAUCCCUUAUGCACUAGCAGAUCCUACUGCAUUUAGACGUUGGGCCCCAUUUUCUGAGUGGGACAUGGUUCGUAUCCUAUCUCGAGGGACAUCUUCCCAGAUGACCAUUUUGAGGAGGGAGCUUCCCCCUGGGAUGCUCCUAGUUGAUGUGGUUCUUCGCGCCAAUCUUUUUCCUCUUCAGCAUAGAGUACAGAGGCGAGGGGCUAUUCUAGAGGCAUUAUUCCGUAUCUCUGAGGGCUACUACUUUGGCCCCCAUCAUUUGAUUAUGGCCGCUCUCCUCCAUUUUGAGGAGAAGGUGCAUACGCGGCGUCUUGCGAGGGCAGACACUAUUCAUUUACUUUUCCCUCGGCUGCUAUGCCAUGUUCUGGCGCAUAUGGGUUUUCCUGUAGACCCUCAUUCUAAGCCCCGCCGCCAUUGUCGAGAGAGUUUCUCUCUUGACCAAUGGAAUCAGGUAUGGCUCCAUCAGCAUUCCCCAGAACUUCCCGAGCCAAGGGAAGUCCCUCCUACUCCGUCCACUUCAGCUCCCUCGGAGCCUGUACUAGAGGCAGCAUCGUCUGACGCUCCACCUGCUAUUCCUCCUACCUUAGAGUCGCCCAUUACUAUCCCUGGUGCAGAGUACUGUGCCUUGCUCGCCUCUUUCCAGACUCUGACCACUACUCAGACGGCCAUAUUGGAGCGGAUGGACCACUUCCAGCGUCAACAGGACCAGCAGACUCUCAUUCUCCGUGAGAUUCAGCAGCACCUCGGUCUUUUUCCACCAGCUCCACCUGUAGCGGUGCCUUCCUCAGUUCCAGCAGAGGACCCCUCCUAUCCACCAGAGGAGCCUACUACUUGAUCAUAUGAUCAUUCCUCUCCUUUUUUGUAUCUAUAUUCUCCGUUUUUGGAUGUCUUAUAUAUUUUGGACUACUUUUAUACUGGGAUUGGAUGUAUUCCAUGUUUCUCUUGUAUAUUGUACUCUCUCAGUUUAUAUGGACAUCUUCCUUUUUGUGUAUUUUAGCUAUUCCUUUUUAUUUCCUCUAAUCAUCACUCUUAUGAUUUUUCUUUUCUUAUGCAACAUGUGGUUUCUCAUGUUCAUUCAGAGUCCUUACUAUCAAGAGGUAUCACUUCCUCUCUUUUAUUAUCACUAGCUUUUGGAACAUUGGGGACAAUGUUCAUCCUAGUGGGGGGGGAGAGUUGAGGAAGUAAUUUGUUGAAUUUUUGGUUAAGUUAUUUUGCCAACAAAAUUUUUUUGCAAACUCUCUUGAUUUCUCAAAGAUAAUUUCUCAAAAGUAAAUGGGAGAAAUUAAAUUCUUAUCUUAUUGCCAUAGUCUUAGAGUUUGUAUUAUGCUUAUUAAAGUUGAUAAAUUGUUGAAGCUCCUUUUGAUUUCAAUCUUAAGUCUUCCACUCUAAUCUUUUCACACACUGAACACAUUAGAUUUCAGUUAUAAGAUGGAAAACUUUCUCACCCCCUAAACUUAGGAAAUUUUCGACUUGGUACCAUUGACCUCAUUCUAUUAGUGUUGGGACACCUUAUAAAAGGCCAAUGUGUCUUAUAAAAAUUUUUUUUGCUUCACUUGCUUUGAAACCCAAGCAAGGUCCGAGGGGUAUAGGGUGAAAAUCUUUAAAACCUGGUGUCCUAAGCCUUUACUGGUUGGGAGUCACCGACCUCACUGCUCGUUACAUGGGUGGAUAGGUGGAGUAUAUACAUCUUAAAAAAAAAAAAAAAGAGGUGCAUUCUUAGCCUUCUAUAUAUGAGUUAGUGUUGCUAAAGUUAGAGAAAAACCUUAGUUGGGGGGAGAAUAUAGUUUGACAUACUAUAACUGGAAACUAAGCAUCUUAACACUAAGAUUUUUGUGGAAGAUUAAGAGUUGACCCUUUGGGAGUGGAAAUUAUUUUGAUACUCAAAUUUGCAUAAUGCCCGCUCUUUGCAUGUUGUGAUAGGUAAGUUAUUUGAUGACUCUUGUUGAUGAUUGAGUUUUAUAUUCUUGACUUGCCAUGUGAGAGUUUGAUCCAAUCAUGCCACUUGAUUAUUUUUUGGAGUGAUCAGCAUGAUUUUGUAAAUUAUUAUAUUAUCUAUUUAUUUUUCUUUCUUUUUCUCUCCUUCAUUGCUCAGGGACUAGCAAUGUGCCAAUUGGGGGGAGUGAUUACUACCCAAAAAGUGCUAUUUUACACCUUUAAUUCAUUAUGUUUUAAGCACUUUUGUGUAGUAGUUCUCCAUCUUUAUUCCAAUUGGCAUGUUAAGGACCUAGCAAUGACUUCUAAUCAUAUUUGUGGCUAGUUUUAGUGUUUUGACAGCUUUUUGGAUCAUUAAAACAAGCCAAGUAAAGGAGAGAAGCAAAGAGGAAAAACAAGCAAAGAGAAAAUGAAGAAAACAGAUGACAGCAGCUGCAGUCUUCCUUCGCACUUUUGGAGCACUUUCUGAAGUCAAUUUUCUAUAUACUAUAUACCAUUUCAAAGCUCAAGAAGUCAAGAAUCCAACGCUUUAAACCGUGUACAAUUUGGAGCUGAAAUGAGGAAGAUAUGGCCUUCAGAAGACAACUGCUCCAGGCUUGUGCGAAAUUCACACAACACCUUGAAAUUCGCACAACACCUUCAGCUUGUGCGAAGCUUGUGCGAAAUUCGCACAACACCUUCCAAAUUCGCACAGCCCAUGCGUGGUGUGAAUUUUCCUCUAUUUUUUCCGACUCCACUUUAGAUCUUUUCCUAUGUAUUUUUUGAUGUAAUUUCCUUUCUUAUCCCUGUAACUAACCAAUCACAAGCUUUUGCUUUUGUAAAGACUAUAUAAGGGGUGGAAAUCACCUCUUGGAACUAACGAACAUGUGUUACGCUUUACACUUAGUGAAAUACAGAGCUCUCUCGUUUUUCCUUUUCUCUCUACUAUUUUCUUUUUCUUGGAAGCCAAACAACCUCUGAGGAUGUUUUCCCAGAGGAUGAGAGGCUAAAAUUUUGGUUUCUUGGAGUGAAGGAAGCUAGGUGAAAAGUCCAAAUGCAAAGGUGGAAAACUCUCGUGCAUUAAAUACAGGUAGUUGGAGUUCAUAAAUGGCUUCUAAAUCCAAAGUUUUGCUUUAAAUCCCUUAGAAUCACUUUGAAUGGCCAAUACAUGGUAAGCUUCAGGUCUCUGUGGAUGCUUAUUGCUAGAUCCAUAUCAGUCCAUUAGUUAUCAUGUACGAGCCAUUGGAAAGUGACUCAAGGUGAAGACCCAUAGUGUCUAAAGCCAUUAAUGGACCUUGACUACCAUUUCUAUUGACUUUUUAUGGAUUAAAUCUUCAUUGUUAAACCUAUACCGGUUCGGGAAAUAACUAUAGGUUAAAUCCCCAAUGCGAGGAGAAAAAUCCGGAAUUUUCCACUUUGUAUUCUGAACUUGAUCCUAGCAACCCUUAGCUCCGGGAGACUUUCUUUCUUCCAUUUUUACUUAGUUUUAUGUUAGUUUAGUUUCAAACACCUUUCAAAACAAAUUUCAUUUUCUUUUAAACUUUAAGUUUUUGAUAAAGGAAAUCAUUAAAUUCAAUUUCUAAUCUCGAGUAUAUCACUGGUAGAAUGAAAACACAUCCCAGAGUUCGACCCUAGAGCCACUAUGCUAUAGUAGCUUUGCUACGCUAGUAUGAGGUCAUAGGUUUUAUAAAUGUUUUUGAUUAAAUGACCCGACUGGAGUUUCAUGCGAAUCAUUGUUUAUGAUAGUGAUGUUGUUAAUUUUGCUUGCAAGGAGACUAGUUGGGUGAUUGAUAGCGGUGCCUCAAUCCAUGCUACACCUCGAAAAGACUUCUUUACAUCCUACACAUCUGGUGAUUUUGGAAGUGUUAGGAUGGGUAAUGAUGGCUCAGCUAAAGCCAUUAGUAUGGGAUAUGUGCGUUUGGAGACUAGUAAUGGUACUAUGUUGAUUUUGAAGAAUGUCAAACACAUUCCAGAUAUCCGCAUGAAUUUAAUCUCCACAGGUAAGCUUGAUGAUGAAGGGUUCUGCAACACCUUUCGUGACAGUUAGUGGAAGCUCACCAGAGGUUCUAUGGUGAUAGGAAAAGGAAAGAAGUGUUCCUCAUUGUAUUUGAUGCAAGCAAGGGUAAUUGAUUCCAGUAUCAAUGUAGUGGAUUAUGAUAGCACGGUUGAGCUUUGGCACAAAAGACUUGGUAAUAUGAGUGAGAAGGGCUUGAUGCUUUUGGCUAAGAGAAAUCUUCUUUCUAGUUUGAAGAAGAGAUCUUUGAAGUGUGCUCAUUGCUUAGCAGGAAAGCAGACCAGAGUUGCAUUCAAAACACACCGUCAUACAAGGAAGCUAAGUAUGCUUAAUUUAAUGUAUUCUGAUGUGUGUGGUCCUAUGAAAACAAAAACACUUGGUAAAUCUCUAUAUUUUGUGACUUUUAUAGAUGAUCAUUCAAGAAAGAUUUGGGUGUAUACCUUAAAAACAAAAGACCAAGUGUUAGAGGUGUUUAAGCAGUUUCAUGCUCUUGUUGAGAGACAAUCUGGCAAAAAAUUGAAAUGCAUUCAAACUGAUAAUGGGGGUGAGUAUUCUGGUCCUUUUGAUGAGUAUUGUAGACAACAUGGUAUUCGACAUCAAAAGACACCUCCUAAGACUCCUCAGUUGAAUGGGUUGGUUGAGAGAAUGAAUAGGACACUAGUUGAAAGGGUGAGAUGUUUACUUUCGCAGUCACAGUUGCCAAGAUCCUUUUAGGGUGAGGCUUUGAAUACUAUUGUACAUGCUCUCAAUCUUACACCAUGUGUUCCUUUAGAAUUUGAUGUUCUGGAUAGAAUUUGGUCAGAUAAGGAAAUCUCUUAUGAUCACUUGUGUGUCUUUGGAUGCAAGGCUUUUGUGCAUAUUCCGAAAAAUGAGAGGUCUAAGCUUAAUGCUAAGACAAGACCUUGUGUAUUCAUUGGCUAUGGUUAGGAUGAGCUUGGUUACAGGUUUUAUGAUCCGGUGCAGAAAAAACUUGUAAAAAGUCGAGAUGCUAUGUUCAUGGAAGAUCACCAUACGAGACAUUGAGAAGACUGCUACAACAGAGUUUCAUAGUGAUAAUCUGAUUGACUUAGUUCCAGUUCCUUUGACACAUCUUCCUACACAGGUUGAAGAUGAAGCACAUGAUGACCAACAUGACAUUGGUGAUGUUGAAAUUCCCACACAGGUUGAGAUGGAUGAUGAUGUUCAUGAGCAGUCACCUAUAGCAGAGGUUCCACCAAAUAUUCCACUUAGGAGGUCUACUAGAGACCGACAUCCUUCUACACGGUUUUCUAUUGAUGAUUAUGUAUUACUAACUGACGGGAAGGAACCUGAAAGUUUUGAGGAAGCCAUAGGAGAUGAAAAUAAGAUGAAGUGGGUUGAUGCUAUGCAAGAUAAGAUGAAGUCAUUGCAUGAGAAUCAUUCUUUUGAGUUUGUCAAGUUGCCAAAGGGAAAAAUAGCUUUGAAGAACAGGUGGGUUUACAGAGUGAAGCAAGAAGAACACACUUCACAGCCACGUUACAAAGCUAGAUUGGUUGUCAAAGGGUUCAGUCAAAAGAAAGGUGUUGAUUUUGAUGAGAUUUUUUCUCCUGUUGUUAAGAUAUCGUCUAUUCGUGAAGUUUUGGGCUUGGCAACUAGUCUUGAUUUGGAGAUUGAGCAAAUGGAUGUUAAGACUACAUUUCUCCAUGGUGAUUUAGACAAAGAAAUUUAUAUGGAAUAGUCAAAGGGUUUCACAGUAAAAGAAAAAGAAGAUUCUGUGUGUAAGUUGAAGAAAAGUCUUUAUGGCUUGAAGCAGGCACCGAGGCAGUGGUAUAAGAAGUUUGAAUCAGUUAUGGGGGAGCAAGGCUACCGAAAAACUACUUUUGACCAUUGUGUAUUUGUGCAGAAAUUCUCUGAUGAUGAUUUUGUUAUAUUGUUACUCUAUGUUGAUGAUAUCUUGAUUGUUGACAUAAAUGUUUCAAGAAUGGAUAAGCUGAAGAAGCAAUUAAGCAAAUCCUUUUCCAUGAAGGAUUUGGGGUCAGCAAAGAAAAUUCUUGGUAUUAGAAUUAAGAAAGAUAGAGCAUCCAAGAAGCUGCAUAUGUCACAGGAGCAAAAUAUUGAAAAGGUACUUAAAAGAUUUAACAUGAGCAAAACUAAAGUGGUUAGUUCUCCUCUAGCUAGUCACCUUAAGCUAAGCAGCAGACAUAGCCCUUCUAUAAAUAAGGAGAAGGAAGACGUGAGAAGAGUUACGUAUGCCUCAAUAGUAGGAAGUUUGAUGUAUGUCAUGGUAUGUACUAGACCAGACAUAGCUUAUGUAGUUGAUGUUGUUAGCCACAUUCUAUCUAAUCCAGGAAGACUACAUUGGGAGGCAGUCAAGUGGAUUAUGAGAUAUUUGCAAUGCACUUCCAAGUUGAAACUCACUUUUAGAAGUGGGAAACCAGUACUUGUUGGCUACACUGAUUCAAACAUGGCAGGGGAUGUAGAUAAUAGAAGGUCCACUUCAGGCUAUUUGAUGACAUUCUCAGGAGGUGUUGUGUCUUGGUAAUCAAGACUACAGAAAUAUGUUGCACUUUCUACAAUAGAGGCGGAGUACAUUGCAGCAGCAGAAGCAUGUAAAGAGUUGUUGUGGAUGAAGCGUUUCAUACAUGAGCUCGGGUUUAAGCAGUAGCGCUAUGUGGUAUAUUGUGAUAGCCAGAGCGCCAUUCACCUUAGUAAGAAUUCUACCUUUCCUGCAAGAUCGAAGUACAUUGAUGUGAGGUAUCAUUGGAUGAGAGAUGCUCUCAAUGACAACUUGUUUGAAUUUGAGAAGAUACAUACCAAUCACAAUGGCUCAGAUAUGUUAACAAAGUCCUUACCAAGGGAGAAGCUUGAAGUUUGUUGUUCAAUCGCCGGGAUGGCGAGCCCUUCCACAUAAUCGGAAAUAGGGAGAUUUGUUGGGUUUUUCCUCAUGUGGAAGGCUCAAAUUAAGAGCCCAAAACUAAAGGCCUCUUAGGCCUUUAUAUAAAAGGGUUAGAAGAAGAAUCCCUCUUCUUCUACUUCUUCUUCUUCCAAUUUUUUUUGCAGCCACUAGAAGUAGACGAAAAAGAGAGUAAAAGGAGAAAAAAAAAAAGAGAAGGGGAUAACCACCCUUUUUGAAGUUAGAAAGAAAAACUCAGUUUUUCUUCAUUGUCCAGAUUUCAUCAAAGUUCCGAUCCGACUUCGUCUGUGGUCCAAUCAACCUGAAAUUUGGAGAAGAGGUUUGUGACUCAUUGAUCUUCAAUCUGAACGGUGAAGAUCGGAUUUGAAGUUCCAGACAAUCAUUUUUUAGUCCGAGAAUAGAGCCUCUAUUUUGGUGAGUUUUCUAUCCGGACAGUUUUGAUCAUGAGCUCCGAUCAAGGUUAAUAUGUGGUUCGAUUAAGCUAAGUUUUGGUGAGCACGUUCAAAACUCAUUGAUAUUCAUUCUAAAUGGUGGAGGUUGUAUUUGGAGUUCAGAACAGUUAAAUUUUAGUCUGAGAACAGUGGUUGUGAUUGGUAAGAUUUCUCCAUUGUCUUUAUGCAAAGUUGUUGAAAUUGCCAAGAUUAAUUUGUUUUGAGAUAUGGUUUAUGUAUGCCUCUAGUUUUAUCUAGAGAGAAUUGUGUAACCCAUUGAUUAUAUUAGUGGUUUUUUUAAGUGGCCUAAGGGUCCCGUGGUUUUUACUUCUCACAUUGGAGAAGGUUUUCCAUGCUAAAAAUUGUUGGUGUUCAUAUACUUGUUGAUUGGGUGAAUUCUUGUUGCUCUAUUUGAUUGAUUCCUAUUAGUUUCUCACAAGAGGGGAUAAAAUCUGGUUGUGCAUUGUUUGUGUUUAUCCCAUCAAGCCAUGGCCAUGUUUCAGUGAAACACAAUGACCAGAAGGGAGAUUUUCUAUUUUCCAAACUGCGGGUGAAGUUGUGUAUAUUGUAUUUGUGGGUCAUGUUUCUUGUAUUUUAAUACAUCUUUCGCACAUCACUGGUUUAGACCAUGUGAAGAUUGUCUUGUCCUGUUAAUUUAUUUUGCAUAAUUUUUUAAUUCAUUUGGAGAAUAUGAUUUUAUUUGGAAGAAAGACUAUUAUGAAUUUGCUUAAGAAUUACGGGUCUUCUAUGAUACUAUCUAUAUUUUUUUAAUCAACUUUCCGUACUUCAUUUGGAUACCUACUAAAUUUAUAGAAGAGUGAAUUGAAGAGGGAAUAAAAGCUUUUCAAUUUCAAUUGGAUUCUCCUUGAAGAUUUUGAAUGAGUCUUCCCAAAAGGUUCAAAAGUCCCCUAAUUAAAUGGCUUUAAUUGAGAGGCUUAAUUACAAGAAGAUGAAAUCACAUCUCACGCAUCCUUUGAUACUUGAUGGUAAUAGAUCAUUUGUGUGUAUUAAUUGAAACAUGUAGACAUACAAAUGAAAUAGCUAGAUUGUUGCAAAAAAGUACGACUAUAAGACCAGGGUGGAUCCAAAGAAGAAUUUCUUUAUUACCACUAGACAAUAAAUGUUUUUUGUUCAACUUUUGUCCCCCCUUAAAUAAAGAGUUACAUGUUGCUCCCCCGGGCCAUUUGCAACUUUUGUCCCCCCUAAAUAAAGAGUUACAUGUUGCCCCACUCAAGCUAUUUGCUGGCUCUGCCACUGAUCAUUUAGGGUCUUAUGAUUAAUGAAGUGCAUUCAUACAAUACCUCUCUUAUUAUAAAUGUAAGAUUUUGCAAAAUACAAAUAACCAGCCAAUCCUAAUAGACCGAGCCCAACAAGAAGCCAAUAAAAGUAAUCAAGAUGUGCUUUAUUGAGGUUAUCAUUGAACCAGCUAUCAUGGCCAUCUCCACCAGUUACUUUAUCAGUGGCAGAGAUGAGAAAGCUGCUCAGGAAGCUCCCUAACCCAAAAAUACUGAGGUUGAGGGCAAUACCAACACUCCUUAAUUCAUUUGGGGCCUGAUCAUAGAAAAAUUCUUGAAAACCUACCAUGGCUAACGCAUCCCCAACUCCAGACAAUACAUAUUGAGGAACCAACCACCACACGCUCAUUGGAAUGGUCACAUUUGGUGUAUCAACCAGGCCGUGUUCUUCAGCUUUCUUGAGCCGUUUCACCUCUAUUAAUGCUGCAAUUACCAUUGAAAUGAUGUAUAAAAACAUCCCCGUUCCAAUUCUCUGAAGCAUUGAUAAGCCAGAAGGUUUCCUGGUUAAAUGUCUUGCAAUAGGAACCAAAAUGCGGUCAUAUAUGGGAAUGAAGAUGACAAUGGUGGUGGUAUUCAAGGAUUGAAGUGAAGCAGCCGGUAUGUCAAAACCCAAGCCAGUUGAUCUAUCCAUAGUAAUUCCUUGCUUGGUAAAGAAAGUGGAUAAUUGUGCUGGCAAGAUACCAAACACCAAACUAGUAAUCCAUAUGGGAAACAGCUUUAGAACUGCCUUCGCUUCUUCAACGUCACUGAAGCUACAUGCCUUUCCAUCCUCCUUCGAACAGUCUAGUGUAAGCAAGGCCUUGCUGAGAAACCUGUCACAACUGAAAGAGAGCCAAGUGAUCGAAAUGUUACAGUAGAAGUACACAUACUAAAAUAAUUAUCUGAAUUCAGACCAUUUUUACUUAGUCUAAAGUCUUGAAAAUUAGAAAGAAAUUCAUACAAGACCCUCAUUUACAAAAUUCAUUGCUGUGAAAUAUGCGCUUCCCCCCCUCCCCCUUUUUUUUAUGGAAAAAAAAUUGAAAUACGCCAAACCUAAUAAUCAUACUUGAACUGAUGGGAACCAUGGUGAGGCAGGGUCUCUCCAGCAACCUCCUCUGCAGUUUUCAGUGAUGGCAUGGUUCUCCAAUUCCUAGUUGCUUCAACAAACACCUUGCCAAUUCUCACAAAUGGGUUUUCCUCAUUGGUGUUGAUACUAUAACGGUAAGUCUUAGUUCCAAGCAAGAAAAGGAGCAGCGCUGCCACCAUGACAAUGCAGGGGAUUCCAAAUCCAAGAACCCAGUUAAGAUUUUCUUGAAUGUAGCUCAAGAUCAAGAAAGCUACUGAAAUACCACUGCAUAGAGCAAAAUACCACCAGUUGAAGAACGAGCUCUUAGCUUUGCACUCCUCUGGAUGUUGUCCAUCAAAUUGGUCAGCUCCAAAAGCCUGAGUGCAAGGCUUGUGCCCACUUUGGCCAAUUGUUACUAGAUAUAGAGAGAAAAAGAAUAAGACUACUUGGAACUGGGGAGGAUUGUCAAUGUUUUGGCAGAAGGAAGGGAUCAGAGAAGGAAGCAUAGCCGACAGGGUUAACAAGCCUAGUCCCUGCAAUAUGUAGUAGUUCAAGUCAAUGAUAGUAAUUAUUCAAUUACAGCAGAAGAGUUUUCUUGAGAGCCUUUAAGAUUUUUAGUGUUUACAUUAGUCCUUUAAAUGGUGUUCUUCCUAUUAUUACCAAUUUUCUUUGUAAGACUAUAAAUAGAUAUUUAGAGGAGAGAGUUUAGAAUCUGAUGGUGGUGAUUCUUCCGUUAGAAAGUUUAACAGCGCUAGCUAUACUGGGGCAGAUAACUGGAAGUUGAAACAUGUCAAAACACAAAUCAUGUUGUUCAUAGAAAAUAACCUGACUUUAUUGAUUGCUAAUUUCAAUAAUGUAAGAGGCUACAAUCAGGGGUGUAAUAGGGCCAGGUUACGCCAGACUUGGGCUUUCAAGGCUUGGGUUGGAGCCAACUCUUUCGUGGCCCUAAUUUAGUUGAUCUGGAACUAAUUCCCAACUAAUCCUAGUUCUAGCCUGAGCUUAGCUCAAUACUAGGGAACCGGAUUAUCUGGGAAAUGACAACAUCCAAACCUAGUAGAAGAAUAGAGAAAAAGAGAGAAGACAAAAGAUUUACAUGGUUCAAUGUAAUUACUUACAUCCACAAGAAUGGAAGAUCAAAUUCUCUAAUAAACUUAAGAAUUCUUUCUCAAACUCUUUACCUAUAACCUAAUACACUACGUCUAUUCCUGUUCACUCUUCUCACUAUUCUAACACUUCGACAACUCACUUUUUUUUACUUUCACUAUAAAUCUUAUAUAACGCUACAUAUUUAUGAAGCAUUAUGGGCUAACAUUAAAUAGUGAGUUUCCAAAUCUUAAUCAAAUUAAAAAAUAGUAAUUUAGCGAACCUAAUAAAAAUAAAAAUAAAUCAUUUGAAUCAAAAUUGCUCUAACAAUCUCUACCUUAGCUCAAAUUCUACUACUCCAUAUUUGGUCUAUCUUCUUAAUACCCACCUUUGCACCCUUUAUGUGUAGGUUGCCACCAUUGCACUAUCAAUGAGAGUAAGUAUGUGUCAAGUUCAAAUUCUCAUUAAACUUUAUUUAAGAAAUGAUUUUUGUUUUUUCCAUAACUUCAUUCCUUAAAUUGGUUUCAUCCUUAUCCUAAUAAGUACUCUUAGCUGAUAACAGAGUCUUGAUCAUCUUGCAUUUAUCCUUUUGUCUAAAUUAUUUUUGUUUUUUAGUAACUUCAUUCCUUUUGCAACUAGCCUCAUCCUUAUCCUAGUUAUCAUCCUUAGCUGAAAGAGGAGUCUUAAUCAUCUUAUUUUUAUUCUUUUCAUCUAAUAUGAACAUCUUGUCGUGAUCUUUUAUCCUGACAACUUCUUCAACACUAUUAUAAGACUCUUCAUGGUGUGGCUCCACCAUUAUAACUUCACCUAAAGCUAUCUUCCCAAUUAAGUUGUAUAAAAUUUUUAUCUUAUCCCUUCAUAGUUACCAAAGAAUCUUUAUUAAUAUUCAUAAUAUUAUUCUUUGUAGAAAAAUCAUAACCCAAAGUAUUUAGAGACCCUAAAAAAAUCAAACUCCUCAAUUCUGGAACAUGCUUAACAUCAGACAAUGUCCUCACAAUACCAUCAAACAUCAUCACCUUCACAGUACCCAUUUUAAUGGCUUUAGAGCUAGAACAUUACCCAUUAGAACAAUACUAACAUGACAUUCCUUCUAGGCGCCAAAACAAUUCUUAUAUUGGCACAUGAGAAUUUAUAAUCUAAAAUCCAAGAAUCACACAAUUUUCACCAACCAUAGUUAAAAAUUAAUAUAUAUAUAUAUAUAUAUAUAUAUAUAUAUAUAUAUAUAUAUAUAGAUAUAUAUAUAUCAUCAUCAUCAUUAUUAAAGUUUUCAUCAAUGACAUAAGUAGAACCUAAAAUCUCAUAGACUCAUCAUCAUUAGACUCAGGGAUUUAGAAGUUUUUCAAAUCUUUCAAAAUUUGAACAUUAAGUUCAAAGAUAUGAAGAACAACUUUAAAGAAUCUAAGAUUAAACUCGAAGAUCUAAAAAUUGAGUUUGAAAAUUUGUAGAUCAAGUUGCAAGAUUUAAAAACAAGUGCAAAGAUUCAAAGAUGAAUUUUGAAGAUUUGAAGAUUAAGUUUAAGACAUCUUCAAUCCAAAAUUUAGCAUUGAUGUUCUCAGUGAGCAUGAGUCAAGUCAAUGAAUCCAAGCUUAACAUGCCUAUGUACAAGCCUAGCUUAAGAUAUGCUAAGGUCCAAACCUAGACUCAAGACAUGCCAAAGUGUUAGGAUAGAGCCCUAGAAAGCAUGAAAUGAUGUAACAUAGUUUAGAUUCAUUAAUAAAUGUAUCUAUUUAUGAUUUUAGUUAUCUUUAUUAUCUCUUUUUGCAUUAAUUAAUCUUUAUUUGAGCAUUCAUGUUUAUAUCACUUGCAUUGUAUAUGACUUCAAUCCAUUAGGAGUUAUAUAGAAGAUCCAAGUCAUGGAUUCUAUUUAAGGUGAUAAGUGGUUUACAAUCAGUUUAGGGCAAUCCAACAAAGAUUGUAGUGUAGUACCUCAUAAUUGGAGGUACUACACUACAAGAUGAUUUCCCAUGAUAAGUAUACUAAUGUGUAUGGUUACAUAUUGGACAAAACUUAUGGUGAAUCAUGACAUUAGCUAUUGAGUCUGUACUGAAAUCAACAGAACAUUUUGACCUAUAAGUGAGACCUUAAGGCGGUCAUAUAUUCACUAUGGAUUGGGUCAUUAUUGAUGGAAGUUGGUGGCAAUAGGUAUUGUCAAUGAAGACACCAUGAUAUUUUAUAUGAUUGAGAUAGUGUGUUAUCUUGGAUGAUUAUAAGACAUGUAAUCAAGAAAACUAUGACUAUAGUAAUUUUUUAGAGAAAUUUAACUUAUACUCUUUGUGAGUUAGAGUAUGUUAGUUGAUCACAUGAUAGAAUGAUAUGUAAAUUAAGGAUUGGAAAGGUAAUUUUAAGAGGUUAAUAACAUUAUUUGGUUAAAUUACAAACAUCAAUUCAUAGGUGGUCUACAUAUAAUGGAUAGUAGGUCAUAGAUCCCACAUUGCAUCAUUGUAGUAUCAAAUGAUACUAGAUUAAAGUUGACUCUUUUUAGUGAAGUGUUGAAUCAAUUUCAAGAUUAGAUUAUAAGGAAGUUUAUGUUUUCUUAAGAUUAUAUUAUAAUGGAGUUUGUGUUUUCUUAUGGGUCCUAGUAAUCCUCACUUGAACUACAAAUUCAUGGUGGCAUGUUUGUAUGAGGGAUUUUGGAUUUAUAGUUCAUAAGUGUGUAUAAGAGCAUUUUGGUAAAAAUAACAUGUUACAAUAAAUCUUAUGAAUGACCUUUCUAAAUUUGGCUAAUUAAUUAAUUGGAGCUAAAUAAGGUUCACUAAUUACUUAUGACCCAAGUGAACUGGAUUAAGUGACCUAAGCGUAAGUUGGACCCAAGUCACUUAAGCCUAUAGGGAAGCCUAUAUAAAUCUCUUUAGGGGUUUAGGGUGAUUUAGACAAAAGUUAGGAUAUGCUCACAAGACCUAAAAAACAAUAAAAAAUUAAAAUAAGAAAUUAAAAAUUUUGAAAAAUGUUAGUUGAAAAAAAUUAAAAUUAAAAUAAAGAACAAAGAAAAUUUUCUUUGAAAUACGUUAUGACUUAAUCCUUAUUGGGUACAUAGGCAAUAUGGAAAAUAUUGCAAAUUCAGUCAAUGUUUCAAAUAAAAUAAGGUUCUAAUACCACUUAAGUUCUAUUCGUGAACUCUAUUGAUGAAAAAAAAAUCUAAAAAUUGUUCACUUUCUACAUGGAACUUGUGCCCUUGAAUAACAUUUUAAAGGGGCAUUUGUAGAAGGACAAAAUUUAACCUUUUACAAUUUAUCAUAUGCCCUAGGGUUUGGUGUCCAUUGGACCUUCCUCUAUUAACAAAAGUGACAAGAACCACCUUUGAGGCAAUUAAUGCCCCUUUAGUUUGUUGAUAUGUGAUGCUCAUUUCACUCCAAAUUUGGAAUUAUGAAAUUGCCCAAGUUACUUUAAAUUAACUUAUAAAUUAAUCUUGUUAAUUAACCUCAAAUUAAACCCUGAAUUGAUCCUAAUUAAUCGCAUAUUAAUAAUCCCCUUCACUAAUUACUAUAACCUAUAAUAUCAACUAUUAUAACCCGUUGAUUAGGGUCGAAUAUGUCAAUAAUUAUAACUCAUUGACUAGGGUCAUAGAAACCAAAGUCAAAACACUUUAUUUUAUUAAUUCAAACUUGCAAAACAAAAUAUCAUAUCUUCAAAAAUUUUCAUUUUCAUAAACAAUGAAAAUUCUCAAAUAUACUUUCCAUACAAAACACAUAUUUGAUUCAUGCAAAAAGAUAAAAAUAAUAUUAUUACACAUUUCAAAAUACAAUAUAAAAAUGAAACUAUUUUCUUUUAUAAAAAUCUGCAUUAAUUUUCCCUUACCUUGAAGAAGCGCUCAAAAACUUAAAGUAUUUAGCUUGACGAAUUUACUCCUCACCUAACAUAAUAUCAUACACAAUAUUGAUUAUUGAUUAUUUAUCUAAAUAUAUACAUUUGACAAUCUUAAAAAUAUUUUAUUUAGUAUUAGAGAUCCUAAUUAAUUUCUCAUAUUAAUAUUAUUAUCAUUCAAUAUUAUUUUCAACUUCCUAAAUAAUAAUUUAUUUCUUUUUUUCUAACUUAUCUAAAUUAAAUCUUUUAAGAAUAUUUAUUUGUAUUAAACUAUUAUUACUAUUAUUUAAAUCUCCUACUAAAACUUAACAAAUACCCCAUGCAAUUCUUUUUUCUUUUCUUUUUUUCAACAUUCCAAAUCCUUCCUACGCAUCUUUCAACAUUUUUUUUUUUUUUUUUUUUCUCUAAAGUCAAAACUUUUAACCUCCAUACUCACAAAUUUUAUGUAAUUUUCACAUCCGAAACUAUAUAAUUUUUUUUUAUCUAGAUCUAUUCAUUUGAGUAAUCAAAAGUUAUCGAUCUCCAUUAAUAAAUCAAACUAUGUUAAUAAAUUUUUAAUCUUUUUGACCUAAAAAUUAAUUAAACGAACUCUAAUCAAAAUUGAGAUAUUCCAAAAAAUAUCUAAUGUGUUCAAAACUAAUUAACGAAUAUAAAAUAUUAACUAGGGUUAGAAUCUUACUUGAAAAAAUAUGAACUUCAAACUCUAGACCUCCAAACCUUUAGCCUUAUGUUCUCCAAUUCUUUAAUUUUUGGUUAAUAAAGUUUUCUAAAUAAGGAAGAUAAGAGGAAAAUCUAAUUUAUACUUAGAAUUUUUAAUUGUAAAAUGACUAUUUUACCUUUAAUGAAUUUAAUUAAUUAAUUCAUUAAUUUACUAUUUUACCCCUAAAGUUUAUUUUGGGUGUUACAUGACUAAUUACUAUAACCUAGAGUCUAAACUAAUCCAUAAGAAGCAGCCACAAAAUGGUCCCUUCUAUAUCAUAUUCAUUUAUUCAAAAUACUAAUAGCCGAGUCCCUACCUUCCUUUCAACUAUACUCUCUCUCUCUUCUUUUUUUUCUUUUUUUUCUGUUUACUACAAUAAUAAGGAUUGGACAAGAAAAAAAAAGGACAAAAAGAAAAAGGAAAACCCGCCGACAGCAUCUCUUGAUCGAAAAAGGACAAUAGAUAAUACAUAGCCGUAGCGCAUGAUACAUAAUGUGUGUGGGGCACUUGUCCUGAACUAAAAGAAUAUAUGGAGUAGAAUAACAUGUAUUAAAGUUGAUUAAUGCUAAGCCGACCAGUCCCAUCAGUUAUGGGCUAGUGGACAACGAUUCUAAAUCUACACGUCUUAUUCAAUUCAAAAAAAUCUCCAAGUGAUAGGAUUGUGAUCGACUUUUACAAUUGGUACAUAUUAACACACCUACUCUUACAAUGUAAAAAGAUAUAUUAACGAUAAUUCUCUCAACAACUACAUAGACUACCUUUGAUUUCUAUAUGUAAAAUAAAAGGUAUCCCAUGACCAACCACCAGAUACCACAAGAAUAAGAUAAAGAGUAAGACAAACCAGGAUGUAGAGAAGAGAUGCAAUAACAAUAGUGCGAUAUCGACCCAGAAAGGAAUCUGCAACGAAUGCCCCAAGCAAAGGGAGUAGACACCCAGCCCCGCUAAAUGUAUUAACGUUCUGGGCAGCCACGGCCAUGGACUGCCCCAGUGGCCCCGUAAGAUAGCUUAUAAGAUUGAAUGAUAUGCCAUAGUAAGCAAUCCUCUCCGCCAGUUCCACACCUACAGAUAUAAAAACUGCUCUUAAUUCUAUACAAAACUAUAGGAAAAGUUGUUUGGUUUGUCAGAAAAGCAAAUUCCACGAGCUUGCUGGGAAGCAAACGAUUUCCCAGUAGAGCUUACCGAUGAUGAAAGAGGCUGACCUCCAACCACCAGAUCUAGAUCUCUUGGCUGGAACACCUCUGUAGUCCACAACACCCUCCACGGCGUCCUCAAGGAAUGGUGUCUCGGAGUCUAAAGAGAUGUCCGAGAUGGCCAUGUCUCGGCAAACCAGAGAUACAAAAGGGAGAUUUUCUUUACCUUUACUUUUGCUUCUCUUUUUCAAAUCCUGUGGGCAGCUGCGUUUGAGGGUUAUGCUUCUUGUAUUUUAGUUUGAUAGCUACCUAUGAGGUCAGAACACGAUUAGCGACUAUGCCAAGCCAGUUUUCUCUUAAAACUUCAAAAAAAAAACAAAACAAAACAAAAAAACGAACAAAAAAUUGAAAAAAAAAAAAAAAAAAAAGACACUAAUUGACAAACUCCACCGAACUAGAUUCUUUUUCUCUUUUGAUUUGCCAUGCAUGUGUUACCAUAUUCCUUAAGUACAAUAAGCCUUUGAAUUUGACAAUUUGAUUUAAUUUGACAAUUUGGGGAUUUGAUUUACUUAUAAUGGAACACUUUUUAUAUAUAGGUUAUUUGAUUAAAUGGAUCAAUAAAAACCCAAUUUUUAAAAUUUAAUCCUCUAUUCUUUUUUUAUUUCAUUUUGAUAAAAAUACCCUCGUUAUUUUCUUGUAAAAAUAACAUUUUAUUUUAAAACAUAAUUAUAAAUACUUGAAAUAAUAAAAAAAACAUUUAUGUCAAAAAUGGGUUACUUUUCAAGAAAAAAACAUGGGAAAUGUUAGUUUCACAAUUUAGGGACUAUUUCAUCCUUUUUAACCAAAAAUUUCUUGUAAAUAUAUUUAUCAAUAGUCACUUAUUAAAGCCUCUUUUGAAAUUGAUUUUGGGUCUCCUAGAAUCACUUUUACAAUUUUACCAUAAUUUAUUUCCUAAUAAUUUGUUUAAUAAAAUAAAUAAAAGUUAUUCUUGAACUAUAAUUCUUGAGCAAUGUUAUGAUACAACCAAUCUUUCAUAUUUUGUGAAAUGACAUAACAAUGAAUGGUAGCCAUAUUAUAUCAUUAUGUUGACAUGAUACAAUUGUGUGUGUGUGUGUGAUGAUGUAUAGUUUUAGAGUUAUGAUGAUGAUUAUACUUCUGUUGUAAUCGCUUAUAACUCUCCCCUUUUAUACCAAUUUUUUGACAUAGUGGAUCUUCUUCUCCUCUGCCAAUAGUUUUUCCCAUUUAAGAUUUUUUACGUAAAUAUAUGUGUUCUUAUUCUAUUUAUUAUUAUUAUUAUUAUUAUUGUCUAUUCUCAUUAUUUCGUAACAUACAUUAAUGUACAUCUUUUUGUAGCGAUUUGAACCACAUUGAUAGCAUAGUUUUAAGAAGAUUAAAGAUAACCUUUUGUAAGUAAUUUUCAAGCAUUAGAGUAUUUUAAUUUACUUCGAUUAUUAUGUCUUCAAAUAAUUCUCUUUCAAAAUUUCCUUACAUAUUUCUUUUUUCUUGUCCUCUCCAAAACUUUUUUUUUGGAACCUAUAUUUUAUACCAUACAUUAUAAAAUAAAAAUGAAAAAACUAUUGUUACAAAUGUAUUUGUUUAAAUUUAAUUAAAAAUAUACAAAAUGAUAAAAUUCCUUAAAAAAUUUAAAAUGAAAAUACUAAGAAUUAAUUUGUUGAUGUCAAAGUCUCUCUUCAUUUCUUCCUUUGCCUCUUGAACUUGCUUCCUUCAACCUCCAGAACUCCCCUAUUGCCUUGAGACGAGAUUUGCAGCUCAUGGUAGGGAGGAGGGGGGCGGGGUGGGGUUCCCAACGUUGGGAGGGUGUUGUCAGGGAGAUGACGAGAUUUGCAGCGUUUUGGGGGUCAGUGGAGGGAAGGGAGGGCUCUUUUCAGCUCGCUGUGGGUAAAGGGGUGGGUUGGGUCUGGGCUCCCACCUUCGAGGGGUGCUAUUGAAGGGAUGACGCUCCAGGCGAUAGUGGAGGUACCAACUGCAUGGGGAAUGGGGAAAGGGAAAGGAAAAUGAGUUGCUCGGUUCGAAUGAAACCAAUCGGUUUGUCCAAUUCAUCGAUCAAACUGUCGAUUCAAGCAGUCUAAUUCCGAUUGGAUCGCUUUCUGGUCUAAUUAGCCAGAUCGAAUCGGAAUUGUGACCGGCCGAUAGUCGAACCAGUCGGUCCAGUCCAAUUUUUAAAACCAUGUUAGAAAGAAUAAAAACACUUCUUAUAAUCACUUUCAAACGUACUCUAAGAGUCCAUUUGAUAAUGCUUCUAGUCAAAGUGUUUUUACUAGAAGUGUUUUCUUUUAUAGUGCUUCUAUGAAAAACAAUUUUAUGAGAAUUUGGAAAAAGGGUUCUAAUAAUAUUUUUGACUAUAUUGUAUGAGUACAAAAGCAUUUUUAAUAUUAAUAAAUUACCAAAAAAGACAUACAAUUUAAAAAAUGAUUAUAAUUGCUUCAUUACAAAAGCAUUGCCAACAAAUUUUUAAGUAAAAAGUUAGAUUUUUGGAAAAGAGAAUCAUAACUUUGAGGAUGAAAAUAUGAAAUUUUUUAAGAAAAUUUGAGAAAUUAGAAAAUGGUAUUUUUUUUUUUCCCUUUAUUUAUUUUUCUAUAAUCUAGGCACAGGUUGCAUCACUCGAGUACAACCACUCCUUAUGCUUCACUUUUCCUUUUUCUUGCGACUACUUUGGCUUUCUUUAGAGUGGGCAGUUUCUUCUUCUCCAUUCUAAUUUUCCUUCUUCAAAUUUUAUCACCACACUAUCGCUAACCUUCAAGCCUGACCAUAGGUUGCACCAUCAUAGCCUCACUUCAACCACAACUAUGGCAGCCACGCAUUGGCAUCUUUCUCCUACUAGUCACCCCACCAUCUUCAUGGUCGCUCACGCUAUCGAUUUUCUCCUCGUUGUUGUCCCCGUAAUGUUCAUCACCACCUUCAUUUAUCUCAAAUCUAUCGCACCACAGGCAACCUCUCCACGAACACCAUUAUGCAUUAGUAAUGGAACUACGCAGUCAAAUCACCACGACAAUGCAGCAAACCAUCCUCAACCAUACCAGUCUCAUGCCUCCAUCUCCACUACUAACCCACACAUAUCCCUACAUACCACCAAUUACCUCCAUCACUAUUCCUCAUUUGCUUUCUCCCUCCAUUUGACAUCACCAUUGAGCCUCUUAUAACCAACCAUUCAAGUCAAUGAAACAUUAACAAAAAGAAAAAUGAAGAAAAAAAAAAUGGAAAUUAUAGAGUUCAACCAUGUUGAAUAAGAGUGAUGAGAGCCUUUGGACUAUAGAGUCUCUACUCAGAUGGAGAAAGUAGGAGGAAGAGGAUAGUGAAGAAAGAAUAUAAGAGUGAAAGAGAAAGGGAGGGUAUCUAGCAAUACUUGGGAUAUUUUAGGAAUAUUUGAACAUUUUUAAAAUAUUUUUUUCAAAGGAAACACCUUCCAAGCGUUUUUCUAAAAAUCACUUCUAAGUAUUUUUAAAAUAUUGGCAAACACCUCUUUUUCACCUUAAAAACACUUUUAAGUAUUUUUAGCACUAAAAACACCUGUAAAAAGUACUACCAAAUAUGCUCUAUGUAAAUUGAUCAUCAGGGAGAUGGAAAAUGGUGUUUGAAUUAGGUGUUUAAAGCAAGACAACAAUUAAGUAAAACAUAAAAAGAAGCGAUAUGCAAACUCUUUUAUAUUAGUUUGGUAAUAUGUCUACAUCUACUCUUCUCAACUACCUAACUGAGUGAAGAUUAAUCAAGGUUUAUAACCCAAGUCUUCAAGCUUUACAAUUGGAUACACGGGCUCCAAUGGACACUUACAAUCCCUUCAAGUACUCCACCUACUUAAUGUCUCUUCACUCAAAAUGAGUAAAUAAGGAAUGUUUUAAUGUUUCCAAUCCUAGAUAUAAGUUUGGCUCACAAUAUAAGUGCACUAUUGGGAUUUGCAAAUAUGAAAUCAAUGCACUUAGAUGAAGAGCUUGAGUAAGAGAAAGAAGGUUUUUCUAAUUGAAUAUAGUAGUUUUCAUAUUUAUAAAUGUUUUAAGACUCUUCACUUUAUAGGUUUUUAGCUUGGAAACCCAAAAAUUCAUAAAAAAAAAAAAACCCUCGAUUGAUCUAUCACCGAUUGCCUAGUCAUUAGGCAUUAAAUGGUCUACAAGUGAUCAUUGGGGUUUCUAAUAUUAAUUGAAGGUGCGACCGAUCCUUACUGCACCACAAUCAAUUGAGCUUAACCGAUUGAGCUAGUUUCCCUACCAGUUCAACUGGUGCUAGGCUCCCUUAAUUAGUUGUACUUUAAAGUGCCUAAAAGGACUUGAUUUGAGGUCUCAAACUCCCAAUUACUAGUGUAAUCCUUCUUAAAACCUUUAGAGUAAGUUUAGAAAGAGUUUGGCUUAAGGUUUUGAAUUAAAACAAAGAUUCAUCCAUUUUCUUGAUAAAAACAAAGCUUUUAAGCUUAUAUGAGGAUGCAAACAAACUUUUAAAUGCAUGAAAAACAUUUUAAACCUAAGUGCACCAACAAAUACCAUCUUACAGAUUGCCCUAUGUCACUUUAAGUCUUCAAGAGUUCUAAGUCUUCAUGAUAUUGACUUUCUUUGAUAGUUAAUGCUUGAGCUUUCUUUAGAUUUUUUCAUUUGAACCUGAAAAUACCACUUCGAUUUGAGUCAUUAGUAAACUUAACCUUGUUUUAUAAUCAUUGAAACUUGGGUACAAGAACCUUUAGGCUAACAAGCUUUCCCUUUUUUAUGAUGACAAAAGUAGGCUAUCUAAGGAGGUGACUCUUUCUCAAUAAAUGCAUGAAGAACAAGUAAAUAAAGCUCAGAUAUACUCAAAAUAAAUGGAAAAUUAAAAGAAAUCUACAUAAGUGCAAGAUCAUCCAUUCAACAUUCAUCCAACUAAGGAGAUCAAGUACCAAUGGAUAUAAAUAACAUAAAUUACAUAUGAAUAGCAUGAAGUAUAUUAGAGAUAAUCAUAAAAUCCAAAGAAAUAUCCAAAAUAUCCAUGAGUGAACUUGAAAAUGAAGCAUAUCUAAACAUAUAUAUCCAUAAAAUAAAAAAAAACAACCAAUAGGGGAUUGACUAAGCAUGUUCAAAACACUCCUAACUCCCUAAAUAUGCCUAUGUAUGUAAAUAUAUCUCCCUUUUUGGAAACAUAAAAAAUAAAAAAUAAAAAAUAAAAUGGGGCAAACACUAUAGGGUAAGCUUAACGCUAGGAAGGUGGAGGUUGAAAGAAGGUGGAGGUUGAAAGAGGGAGUAGAGGUGUGCCAUCAUCUCCUCAUUCUAAGUAGCAAAGGCUAGAGGCUACUUGGUGUUGAUCUAGCUUUAUUGUGAAGGCUUUCUUAAACUAAUCAAGCUAAGUAGUUGUCCAUGCAAUCCUCAAUAGAAUAGAAUUGAGAAUCAAUAAUCAUAGUCAACUCCAUCUGUGUACCAAGAGAACUAAUCUAGCAAAAAAAAAAAAAUCUACCCAAUAUGCUACUCAACUCAUAGAGACUCAUAGGAAGUGGAAAACUUAACAAUAGGAGGUGUAGGCACCUCGGUAAAAGUCUCCUCAAUAGGUAUAUCUGUCUUAGGUUGACAAGUUUGGAAUGAAAUGUCUGAUUUCCUUACCCUUGAUCUCAUCAUCCCGCUAAAUCCUCACAUCAUGAGAUUUAACUUGGGAACAUCUAGAUCACAAGUAUGAAACUUUUAACCUCUAGAUUUAUAUUCUAUUAUGGUUUUGAUAGCCAUUAUUUUCCAUUGCAUUAGAUUUAGAAAGCCCUAAGGAUAGAUAGCAUGCACCUUACGAGAUUCAAGGACAGGGAAUAGAAGAAUUAGAGGUUCCAAUAGUAGUAUCUUAAGAAACAUUCAUAUUUUAACAUAAAUUUUGCUUCAUAUAAAGCUAACACAACAACUUUGGUAAAACAAACUUUGGUAUGCUUUAGGACUUGAUGGAUCAUAUACACCAAUUCAUAUGGCCUUUUUGUAUUUUCCUUUUUUCACUCUCUCACCCUUUUUAUCUGUCUUGAAGAUUGUUAUGAGAGUUUAUUCAUUCCCUUGUCAAAUAGGACUAGUUGGUAAGUUUUUAACUUCUUAUUUUUAUAUCAUUAAUUAAUUGUGUUCAUUUUGUUUGUGUAUUAUUUGUUACAAAUCCAACUCUAGGAUCAAGACUUCAUUGAACUCUUAUCAACAAGGGCAAUGAUUAAUUAAAAAAUUCUCGAAGUCAUGGAAAGACAGAUUUCACACAUUCUACAAAGUAGAUUUCUAUCUAGCAAGAUAUUGAGCAAUAGAUCUUCAUGGGAUAUUGACAAAAAAAAUUAUCGAUAGAUCAUUUUUCCAUGUUUGGGAUAUGCUUUGUUAUAAUCACAAAUUAUGAAAUGUUUCAUGCAUUGAAAUUUAGCUUAUGUUCAUUAUUUUUUUUAAUCUCCUCUUAUAGAAUGAUAUAUUUUAAUUUCAUUAUAUUCUAGUUUUUUGUUAAUAUUUAAAAUAUAAAAAUAUAAUCACAUUUGACAAUGGGUCCACCUUAAAAUUUGAAUAUUUGAUAUGUUUUCAUCUUCAGGAAAUGCACAUGAUAAUAUAUAUAUAUAUAUAUAUAUAGAUGACAUUUAAAACUACAAUUGUGAAAAAUGACUAAUUAAAUUAAGUGAAUCACCCAAGAAAGGGGGUGGGGGAGGGGUUGUUGAAUUGGGUGUUAUAAACUUUUUGAAAAUAUUCAACCAAACACAAAAAGAAGAGUAAUUAAUAAGCAAGAUAAUAGUUAAGUAAAGGAUAGGCAGAAGAAAAGUGCAAACUCUAUUUAUAGUGGGCACUUACAAUCCCUUCAAGUACUCCACCUACUUGAAGUCUAUUCACUCAAAAUGAAUAGAUAAGGAAGUUUUUAAUGCAUCCAAUCUUAGAACAAACAUAGCUCACAAUACAAGAGAAAGCUUAGAUGGAUUUUGAGGUGCACUCAAGAAUAUGACAGUGGGAAAUAAAUGUACUUUGAAUGUGAGAAAAGAAAGGUUUUUCAAUUGAUUGCAAUUAUUCUCAUGUUAAUAAAUGUAGUAGGUCUCUUCAAUUUAUAGGUUUUCAACUUGGGAACCCAAAAAAUACAAAACGCCCUUAACCGGUUGAACUCCAAUUUGAUGGAUGGACUACUAGUGGAACAUUAAAUGCUUUGAAUGUGACCAUAUAUAUAUAAGAAAAUGCUUAUUGAAAAUUAGUCAUAAUUGCAUCAAAAUGAUUAUGAAAAGUAGUCAUUAUAAAAGACAGAUGAAAGUGGAAAGUAGCUAUGAUUAAGAGAAGAUGACCAAUACAGAAAGUCAUUGUUGGCAUGUGAAAAUGGUCGACAAAAGACUCCCAAAGGAUGAUUGCAAGAAAGGCGAUCACCAUUUAGAACGGAUAUCUUUGGUGAAAGAUGACUGGUCUCCCUAUCAUCUUCUCUUUUUCUGGUCGUAGGGAAUUGUCACACAAAAAGCAAAAGAAAAAAAAAAACAACGUAAUCCUUUUAGAUAGGAGGAACUUUAUGGAGAUAAACCCGAACAUAACAUCCACGUCAUUAACAUUACACUACAGCGAUACGCACUUAAGGUAAAAUGUUGAAGAAAAUGCUUCUAGUAUUGGGUGCAAUAAUAACAAAAUUAAGUGCACUCAUGUUGUACUAUUAUAAAUGUAAGACUUGGCGAAAAACAUGUAGACAGCCAAUCCUAUUGCAGUGACUCCAGCAAGUAGCCAAUAAAAGUAAUCAAGAUGUGCCCGAUUGAGAUUGUCACUAAACCAGCUAUCUCGUCCAUCCCCACUAGUUAUUUUCCCAAUGACAGAGAUCAGAGAGGUGCUCAGCAACCUCCCCAAGCCAACGAUACUUAGUUGGAGGGACACGCCAACACUCCUCAAUUCACUAGGGAUCUGGUCACAGAAAAACUCCUGAAUUCCAACAUUGGUGAAUGAGUCAGAAAUUCCUAAGAAAAUAAAUUGGGGAAUCAACCACCACACCUUCAUAGGAAGAGUCGUCUUUGGCAUAUCAAGCAGCUCAUAUUCUUCAGCAGUUUUCAGACGUUUCAACUCAACUAGGGCUGCAAUUACCAUGGUAAUGGCAAUUAAAAAUAUCCCAAUUCCGAUUCUCUGAAGCAUUGUUAUGCCAGAUGGUUUUCUGGUUAAAGAUCUAGCAAUCGGGACAAAUAUGCGGUCGUAUAUAGGAAUGAAGAUGAGAACCGUGAGGGCCCUAAAAAAUUGAAGUGAAGCUGCUGGUAUGUGAAAGCCUGAACCUAUUGAUCUAUCUAGUGUAGUUCCUUGCUUGGUAAACAAAGUGGGUGGCUGUGCAAGCACAAUACCAUACCCCAAACAUGUGGCCCAUAUGGGAAACAGCCUUAGUACUGCCUUUGCUUCUUCAACAUCACUGAGGCUACAUGCCUUUCCUUUUUCCCCAGACCCCCCUGGCAGAAGCAAUGCCUUGUUGAGAAACCUGCCAUAGAAAAGAGACCAAAGUCUGAUAUAAAUUUAGAACCAUUUUGAUGAGAAGAUUUAAAGGCAAUCUUUAGAGCCCUGGAAGUUAGAAAUCUGACAAAGGCCUUGAAUUUUCAAAUCUCUUUCAUGAGAAAUAUGAUUAUUAUUUUUUUUCCCUAUUUGAGUCCUAUGCACUGAAAUAUAUAGAAAGUUGUUGCCUACUUGAACUGGUUUGAACCUUGGUAAGGGGGAAGGUUUUCUGUAGCUUCCACUGGAGGGGUUGUCUUCCAAUUCUUGGCUGCUGCAACAAAAACCCGACCAAUUCUCACAAAUGGGCUUCUCUCAUUCUUUUUUAUACUAUACCUAUAAGUCCUAGUCCCGAACAAGAAAAUGAGCAGCCCCAACACCAUGAAAAGGCAAGAGAUUCCAAAUCCAAGAAUCCAACUAACGUUGUCUUCAAUGUAGCUCAUAAUCAAGUAACUUACUGAAACACCACCAGCCAGACCAAAAAACCACCAGUUGAAGAAUGAGCUUUUGGCUUUGCAUUCCUCUUGAUCUCGUUGGUCGAAUUGCUCAGCUCCAAAUGCUUGGAGGCAAGGCUUGAGCCCACCUUGCCCAAUUGCUACUACAUACAAUGAGAAAAAGAAGAAGACUACUUGGAGCUGAGAAGGAGAGCAGGACGUUGUUUUGUUGCUGUUUUUGCAGUUGGAAGAGCUCCCAGAAGUAAACACAGAAGACACAGUCAAUAAGCCUAGUCCCUGUACUCCAUUCCAAUAGAAAUCAAAGAUAAUUGUCAACCCUGAUAUAUAGUGUUGAUUAAUUUCCUGAACCCUUCUCAUACAUAUGAUGCAAUUAACUUCAUAAUGUAUUCAUGCAAUCCAGUUCUUUGUUUUUAUUCAUAUGAUUCACCCUCCAAAACCUGGAACAAACCAGGAAUUUGGUGCGUACCAACUCCAGAAUAAGGCCGGUCAAUGAUUCGGUUCACAUUUUGAGACGGAUCAUGAGUUGAAUCAGGCGACUGAACUCAAAACAGAGGACCCAUUCCCUGGGAAUCCAACCGAGUCGCUUUUGUGCAAAAAGAGAAUAUGGGAUGCUAGGCGGACUCAUAUUAUAUAUGUCAUACAAGAACGAGAAUAUGGGAUGUGAUGAAUUAUAAGGUUUCCGGUCACCUUCUGAAAUGCCCCAAGAUCUAGAUGGGUUAUUUCACUAGCCAAAUUCAUUACCCCAAGUCAUAAAUGAAACUUGAAACUACGAAUAUAAAAACCUUUCGUUUCUCAUACCAGAAGAGCCUUAACCUUGAAUUGUAUUAUUUAUUGUUUAUUUCAAGGGAGAAAAGAAAAUGCAUUCUUCGUUUUCGUUUUUUAAUAAAGAAGAGAAAACAUAAUUUUUUUUUAGGGAGAGAUAAGAGAGACUUAUGAGAGAGAGAAAAUAAAAAAUAAAAAAUCUUUUUUAUUUAUUUUUAAUAAUGGUAGUUUAUGGGUAGUUUUAAAACUCUCAAAAACUGUUCCUCUAUUUUCUCAUUUAUUUGGGUUAGGUCUAGUCAACCCACUUGGGCACCCAAACCCAACUCCAAGAGGAUGUUAGGCAGAUUCGUAUUAUAUAUGUUACGCAAGAACGAGAAUAGACCAAAAAAAAAAAAUAGAAUAAGAACACAUAAAUUUACAUGAAAAAUCUUAAGAAAAACCCGGAAUAGAGAAAAAUGAAAUCCACUAUAUAAAAAUAUUGGUACAAAAGAGGAAAGUUACGAGUGGCUACUGCAUAUAAUCAUCAUAACAACCGUUUGAUCCCUCCACUAUCACCAUAGAUUCUCAAAAAAAAAAAAAAUCUCACAAUUAUAAAUUCACCAUAUAUUUCAUACCGCUAGCUUUUCGCAUCAAACUUUUCGGAUCAAAUUAAAUAAAAUUUGAAUCACCAAACUCUAUCAGUAUGGUUGCACUACCAUGUAAAUUACAUACAUACACUUCUCAAAAACUUAAAAAUAAUCUUUAAUAUUGUUCCCUAUGAUUGAAGAUAACAAAUAUAAAAGUAAUAUGAAUAAAAAAAAAUCAUAAAUUUUGAGAUUGCAAAAGGUUAGAAUAUAUAACUGUUAACAUUUAAACAAUAAAAUUUAUUUUAUCUUAAACGGUUAUAAAUUAUUAUUAUUUUUAUCAUUUAAUAAAAUUAUAAAUAUUAAUAAUCUAUUAAAUUUAUAUUUUAUUCUUAUCAAUAUUUAAUUAAUUUAUUAAUGUAUAUAUGUUUAAGGUUCUAAAUUAUUUAUAUAUUUAUUAACCUUUUUUUUAUAUACUUAUGAUAUCAUGGUGUGAUCAUCAAAUUGCCAAUCCAAUCAAUGAAUCGUGGCCUAAUAACUUUUUCAAUUGAGUGAACUAUAGGAUUUUUGAAACAUAAAGCUCAGUGCAAGAAGCAACUAAUUGCGGGAUAAAUUCUAAAGACUAACCAGGAUGUAGGUAAGAGAAGCAAUAACAAUGGUGCGAUAUUGACCAAGAUAAGAGUCUGCAAUGGCAGCUCCUAAGAGAGGCAAUAAAGUCGCAGUCCCGGACCAUGUAUUCACGUUGGCAGCUGCAGCGGCGGUGGACUCCCCUAGCCAUCCGGUGAGGUAGUUUAUAAGGUUGGUUUCUAUACCUUUGAAAGCAAACCUGUCCACAACUGCCAUGCCUGUAAAAAUACAUUUAGGGUCAUAUUUAUGACAUAAUUUGUCCAUAUGAUAAACUAUUUACGUGUAAAUUUUUCUUUAACUACUUCAUUUCGUACCUAUGAUGAAAUACGCAGAUUUCCAGGCACCUGAGAAGGAUCUCUUGGCUGGGUCUCCUUUGUGGUCGACGGCACCAUCUACAGUGUCGUCCAAAGUUGGAGCCUCCGAGAUGAGACAGCUAUCCAUGUGUUCGCCAAGCCAAAGCUCACCACACAAAGGAUAUGUCUUGGUAUAUAUGCAGGCUUCUCUGUUUGCGGGUAAUGUUCGUUGGGUGUACUCCAAUUCAUAGUUGUGCUUCAUGAUUCACUACGCACAAGUCACCACCACCACAUAGGAAUUCUCUUUUCUGAUGUGGUCCUAGUGCACAACUUUUGCUAUUUUCUAUUAUUUUUUCAAGUUCUGAGCAUAGAAUUAAUGGCUAUGAGAAUUUGAUUUGGGAUCGAAAGUGAUAGAAUUUGAUUUUGGAUAGUGAUGCUAGCUGCACCAUCACCCUUUAAACAAGAUGUAGAAAUAAUAUUAAUAUUUUAUUUUAUUUCUAUGUAAUGAUGAUUUCAAGUAUCAUGUACUAAAUAUUAAUACUGUUGUGAAUUUUGACUCUUCUAAUAGUAUCAUAAACUAUCUUAGAAUCUCCUUCCAUUAGGCCAUGUUUGGUUUAUGGAAACGAAAAUGUAAGAGAAAGAAAAUAUAAAAAAAUAAAAAAUAAAUUAAAAGUUUAUAAAUUAUUUUUGUAUCUUGCUUCAAACUUAUUUUACUUAUUUAACUAUUAUUAAAUAAUUUAAAUAUAUAUAAAUUUCUUAUUAAUUUUAAUUAUAUUUUAUUUUCUUUCGAUAAGAGAUCUCAUUACUAAUCAACUUGGCUCUCAUACCACUUGUUAGGGUGAAUUCACAAUAUUCCAACAAACACUAAAAUUUUUCUACCCUUUCUUUGUGCAAAAUUAAAUAGGUAAUAGCAACUAGUAGUAAUAAAUAAAUAAACUCAUGUAAUAAAAAAAUAAAUCAGACACCAUAAUUUUUACAUGGAAAACCCCCCAAUGCGAUGGGAAAAACCACUGGAUCUAGUCCAGUUAAAACAUCCACUAUCAAUAAUAAUAAGUUACACUUGUCUUCUCUAGAAUAAUCUCUAAAGGCUGUCAAAUACAUCAAGAGCACAUAUAACCUUAGAUUAUAUAAUCUCUCAUGGCAAAAGACACAGAAAAAUUGGAGAAAAUAUACCCAAAAAAAUGUUGUUACUGUUCAUGGGCAAUAACACCAGUUCUCAAGCUCAAAAUCUGAUCUCCACCGUUCAGAUUGUAACUAUUCGAGUUUCAAACCUCUCCUCCAAAUUUCAACUCGAUCGGACCACGGAUGAAGUAGGAUCGGCUUAUUGAUGAAAUCUAGACAAAUGUGUUUUUUUCUCUUUCUUCUCUUCUCUCUGUUUUUCUUUUUUCCCAAUCUCCUUUUUUUUUUUUUUUAAUGUAACUGACUUGGGCCCCAAGCAUAUAGGGCCCACUCCCUCACAUACGAGGGAGCCCGACACUUUUUAAUCAUUAUUCAUUAUUCAUAUUUAUAUAAUUAUUUUUUAAAACAAUUUUCAAAAAACGAAUUGAAAUAAUUAAAAAUAAUUAAAAUAUAUUAUCUGAAAAUACUAUUUUUUGUUGUUUAAAACAAAAAAUAGUUUUCUAUUUUGUGAUUAUCAAAUGUGUUUUUCUAUUUUAUUUGUUCUAAAAAAUAAAAAACUAUUUUCGAAAACAGUUACCAGAUCUUAAGUUAUUUUGUCAAACAUGUUUAAUCUAUGUAAUAACUUGAAUUAAAUUGAUGUAUAAAGUUGAUUUACUAAACACCCUCUUAAUCUUCGUAAAAAAUUCCACUUUAAAAACCCAAAUUGCACCCCGAAAUAAUUGUUCUCAUCACUUCUAUCAUAUUUUCUUUUUGUAUUAAAAAUGUGGUUAGUAUAGGUUAAAGUUAUGUUUAGUAACCAGGAAAUUUUGAGGGAAAAUGAAAAUAUAAAUAAAAAAAAUAGAAGGAAGGGAAAAAAAUUAUAUUAUAUUUAAAAUCAAACAUUAAAAAGCCCACUAUAUCCAUUCACACGAAAGAAAAAACACAUACAAAUAAUAUGAAAUAUUUGAAUUUUACAACAGAGAUCAUCUAAUAUAACAAUUUGCAUUUACUAUAUUCUAUAUUGGUGGAACAAUAAUAAUAAAAAUGAAGGAAGCUUACGUUGUAUUUCCCCUAUUAUAAAUAUAGGAUUUUGCAAAAUACAAGUAGGUAGCCAACCCAACUGCACUGAGCCCGGCCAGCAGCCAGUAGAAGUAAUCAAGAUGUGCCUGAUUAAGAUUAUCAUUGAACCAGCUACCUUGGCCAUCUCCAUUAGUUGUUUUGUCGAUGACAGAGAUGAGAAAACUGCUCAGGAAGUUCCCUACACCGAAGAUACUGAGGUAGAGGGCGAGGCCGACACUCCUUAAUUCAUUUGGGACCUGAUCAUAGAAAAACUCCUGCAGACCAACCAUGGUGAACACGUCCGAAACUCCAAACAAGAUGUAUUGGGGAAUCAACCAGCACACGCUCAUUGGAACCGUCACCUUUGGCAUAUCAAUCAAUCCGUAUUCUUCAGCGGUUUUGAGCCGUUUCAUCUCAACCAGGGCUGCAAUUACCAUGGAGAUGCAAGAUAAGAAAAUCCCAGUUCCGAUCCUCUGAAGCAUUGUUAUGCCAGAUGGUUUCCUGGUUAAUGAUCUUGCAAUGGGAACAAAAAUGCGAUCGUAUAUGGGGAUGAAGAUGAUAAUGGCAAGGGUGAUAAAGGACUGAAGUGAAGCUGCUGGUAUCACAAACCCUGAUCCGAGUGAUCGAUCCAUAGUAAUUCCUUGCUUGGUAAAGAAAGUCGAUGACUGUGCAAACACAAUAGCGUAGGCCAAACACGUAGCCCAUAUGGGAAAGAGCCUCAGAACCGCCUUUGCUUCUUCAACAUCACUGACACUACACACCUUGCCAUUGUCCUUGGAACCAUCCGGUGCAAGCAAGGCCUUGUUAAGAAACCUAUAACAAGAGUUAGGGUCACAUUAUACUAUGUUAGAUGGGUUCCAAUAUGCUUUGUGGACAUCUUGAUGGCAUUGAAUUCGAAAUAAUUUUCCCUGAGAACUAUGUGUUUGCCUACCUUUUUUAAAUAUCAGUGCAGAAACUCAUAUCUCUUACCUGAACUGCAGAGAACCUUGGUGAGGUAGGGUUCCUCGAGCUACCUCUUCAAAAUUUAGAGACGAAUCAGUUGUCCUCCAAUUUCUAGCUGCUGCAACAAACACCUGACCAAUCCUCACAAAUGGGCUUUUCUCAUCUCCAUUGACACUAUACCGGUAUGUCUUGGUCCCAAGCAAGAAAACAAGUAGUGCAAUCACCAUGGCAAUACAGGGGAUUCCAAAUCCAAGACCCCAAUUCAGGUUGUCUUGAAUGUAGUUCAAGAUGAAGAGAGUUAUUAGAGUACCAAAGCACAUAGAGAAGUACCACCAGUUGAAGAAUGAGCUUUUGGAUUUGCCCUCCACUGGAUCUUGUCCAUCAAACUGGUCAGCUCCAAAAGCCUGGACACAGG
This 44458-nucleotide long non-coding RNA is filed under the name Vitis vinifera (wine grape). RNAcentral's name for it is "long non-coding RNA (VVIN_LNC006260)". Lineage: Eukaryota; Viridiplantae; Streptophyta; Magnoliopsida; Vitales; Vitaceae. The record is from RNAcentral.